Molecule: long non-coding RNA, 66553 nt
Filed under: Gossypium raimondii (Peruvian cotton)
Lineage: Eukaryota; Viridiplantae; Streptophyta; Magnoliopsida; Malvales; Malvaceae
Description: long non-coding RNA (GRAI_LNC006703)
Source: RNAcentral
AUAAACUAAAAGUCUAUGCCGGCACCAAAUACUUACAAUAAUUCAUGACUCCAAAAAUGAAAAGACUUUCAAAAAUAAAUUUCCAAAGCGUUGACAAAUCUUAAAUCAAAAUUUCCACAGUUCAUUAGCGUGCGUUUCACUCUCUUUAAUUUCCUCCUCCUUGCUUCCCCAUUUGCCACCUUUGUUUUUUCCUCCUCCAAUCACCAUGCCAUAAUUAUACUUGUUAUAUAUAAACAAAAUCUUUCACCUUAUAUGCUAACUUGUCUCCCCUUAUACCAGUAAAAAACUACAAACCUUUAAAAGCUCUUCUUCUAAAACCCUACUCCCACUUCCCAAAUAUCAAAAGCGAUUUGUUUUCUCUUCUUUUUCAAAUGGCUCCUUUAUCAUUGGCACUUCCUUUGCAAUCCAAGAAGAUUUCAUGCACAAGGCAGCAGCUUUCCAAUAUCAUAUAUGUCGUGUUUCUGAUUACACUUCUUGCUGGCUCUAGUUUUGCCAGGCCUGCCACUAGGCCUGGCAAAACCAUAAUUGUGGACGAUACAGUUUCCAUGACCGUGUUCCCGAGAAAGUACGAGACGGGCUUUCGAUACCAAGGACAGAUGUUCAACUUCUUCCCCAAAGGGAUCCCUAUACCACCUUCUGGUCCUUCUAAAAGACACAACUCUGUAGUCGAUUCUACUCGAAACUGAGUAGGCAGUCCUUUUUUCUGUAGUCUCAACUCUCAAAGCUUCUUUUUUCAUCUUUCCUCAGUUUUUUUUCUUUCUUAAUAUAGCUGUUAGGAUUGUUUGCAGCGAAGGGCUUGUUUUAGGGGGGGGGGUGAUUGAAUGUGAAGCCCAAUGAAAUCGGGUCAAAAACAGAGCUCACCCCUUUCAGGCUUUUUGAGAUUUUUACUUAGAUAUACUGUAUAGAAAUUAUGAUUUGUUUGUUGAAAUUUUCUACUGGUAUUCGUUUCAAUAUUAAAAAAAAAAAUUGCAGCUGUAUGUACACUUGGUCGAAAUGAAUUCAAUUUUGUGAUGAAUUAUAAUGAAUCAAAUGCUUUUUUUUUUUUUUGCAUAUUCUUUGUACUAAACAGGGACAGUAUAUGGUUAUCUCCCUCUCUCUGUUUUUGGUUUUGACUUUAGAUUGUGAAGAAAAGCCAGCUAUGGGAUCUACUUUCAUUGCAGUAGGGGAGAAAGCUCCAAUGGUUGCGUUUGGUAUUGGUAUAGACUAUAGAGUUGGGCGCCUUCUUGGCCCACUUAAUUGGGGUCGUACAUUCAAUGAGGAAUAUAAAGGAGCCUUGUUUUAUAUUCACUAUUUCUUUAUACAAACAUCAAGAAGUAUUGUCCUAGUUUAUUUAGGUUACGAUAUGAAUAAAUAGAUUUUAUGAGGCCUUGUGUGCGCCCCCAGACGUUGUUAAUUACGUUGAGUGUGUUGCUUAUUUAGACCAAAAGCUGUGUAUUGGAAAAAGUGGAGGUUGAUGGCAAAUUUCUUCCCCACGUGGAAGGCAAAUUGGCGAAACUUCAUGAAUUCUGAUUUCGGGCAUUUUCAUUGAAAAUUGCGAAAGGAGGAUGAUAGUAUAAGCCUAAAUAAUAUUUUAGAUGUAACCGUGAACCUCAUGCAGCUAUAAGAAUUUUGCUUUUCAUAUUUGUCACGUUUGACCAUCUAAGAUACAUAUAUAUUAAAUUAAGGAGGAUUUAUACAAAAUUAAAAUAAUAAUAGUACGGAAAUGCCACCUUGACCUUAAUUCAUGGGGACAGGUAAGAUCUGAACCUUCAUGUUGAUGGAUCAUGGCAUAUACUUGCUUAAAUUUUGGAGACAUUUUCAACCACUCUUACUAAUUUUUAAAGGUUAAUUACAGUGAGUUAAUCAAUAAAUUAUUGGAGAAAACAGAGGUGAACUUCUUUUCAAGUAAUUGGAUUAAGUUUGAAUCUGAAGUCAUUAAUAUUAAGAGUGUUUUAUCUGAAUACUACCUCUUAUCCGAACAAGAUUAGACUUAAAGUUUAGAAUGAAUAAAAAUACUUGUGGUUAUACUAAAAGAAUGGAAAUAUAUCCCUUGACUUUUACUUCAUUUUAAAAUGAUGUGGACCGAUUUAUCUUCAUGUAAUUAUAUAUUAAAUUCUUUUCUAGAGUUUAAUUAAGCUAAUUUGGUAGAUAUAAUUAUUCUAUCUUUUUUCACUUGAUUUCAACGUUACUCAAAUUUGCAUAAUUUGAACUAAAACUUCUCUAAUAAUUUCAUGCUAAACAAGUUGGAGCUAUGAUAGUAUUGUAAACCGUAAAGAAUAGAGAUGAGAAAUGGGUUUGGUUUGAGUAGGCGGCUAAAUAUAGGCAGGAAUAUAUAGCAUCUCAGACUUCACUUUUGGGAUUAAAUUUUAGUUAAUUGGUGGGUCCAAAGUUCUAAAUUCAUGCAUAUAUAGGCAUAGGUAUCGCACGGUCAUAUUGAAAACGUUUUAGUUCAAAACUCUUGAUGCUGCUGCAAGUACAAGAUCAUCCCCUGUUUUUGCAAUGGCCGGAUUGGUUGUCUGGCAAAGCUCCAAAAACAGCUAUCAGAUUCUGUAACUAGCUCUCUAGUGAUAUAUUUUAGUGCUAUUUACAGGCGGGCCUGACAAUUUUAUAGCAAAGGAAAUAGGCAAUGAAGUCAGUAUACACAUGAAUGGUGAGCAAGCUGUUGCCAGACUUGUUCCAAAUCUAAAAUCAAACAUGAGAAUGCAUAGUAGAGUAUCCAGAAUUGCAUUUAGACUGACCAUAAGCUAUCCCCUAGAUUUUAGCUCUUCUUUAAAGAACAGGAUUAAGCGGUUUCCACGCGCAAUAAAAUCCAAAUCUCUAAACGAAGAAAUUUCCACACCUUCCUUUUCUAUUAUUGUAUGUAAUGAUGAGUGUUCAAUUUUUUUUUUAAUUGUACGAAGGUUAGUAUUCAUACCAUACAAAUAGAGACUUACUCUAAUUUUUUAGUAUGCUUAAAAUUUAAUAAUUUAGUAUCAAAAUUUCAAUAAUUUUUAAAAACUUUAACAGUUUUACAAAUUGAUAUACGGACUAAGUAAAUCAAACUCCCACAAUUUCAAAAAUAUAAAAUUUUUAAAAAAACUAAAAAUUGUUUAUCAAACAAGGAACCAAAGUUUGAAAGCUUCAACCCCCAUUUUUUUUUCGUGAAAAUGAAAAAGAUGAGCAAGAAUGUCUUAUUUUUUCUUUUAAUUUAAUAUAUAUACUUUCAUUAACUUUAAUUAAUUACAAUUUAUUGAAUUAAAUUAUAAUUAACUAAACAUCAAUCUAAAUUAAUUAAACAUAGUGGAUUGUGACGUCAACCACCAUCGUUUGAUACAUUUAGAAGGGUUCAAUUGGUUAAUUGAUCUUUCGGUUAAUUAAAAUUCUAUAAUGAUUAACUUUAAUUAGCUAUUCAACUGAUAAAAUUAAGGGAUCAAAUUUUAAUUAAAUAUUAUAUUAACUUUACAAAUAUUAAUUAAUAAUAUUUACAGAAUCGAAUAUCGAAAAUGAGAUUCUAAAAUCACUAUUUCCGAUAUCACUGAAAAAUAAACUAUUACAAUACAGACAAAUUAACAUAUCAAUCCAUGUCUGAAACACAAAAAUUCCUGCUUAAUCAAAAUCUAGGCACCCAAGUAAAAUUUGCAUGCACAUCAUUUUACAUACCUCUAAAUUUGAUCCAAAAGUUCAAAUAAAAACAAAUCAUUGUGACAACAUGACAUAUAAGCGUCAAGAGACCAAACUAAUGAAAAGUGUCGAUAUAAAAUCCAACUAAGAUCCUUGUACAUGCCCAAACUAAAAAGAAAACUGCUAAAACUUAUUACAUAUCAGAGUAUAGUCGAAUGUACCCCUUUGCUAAGGUUGCUUGAGCCUCACAAGAUACGAAUCCUCAAUACCUGCGCACGAAAACAAUGUUCAGUGGUGCAAAACAUAUCUCCAAAUAUAUUAUAUGCUAAUACUAUAUUGUAAAGCAUACUAAAACAAUAUUAAAGUUAAAUAUUAUCAGACUCUAUUAAUCAUGCUUCAAAUAAGAACACAAGAUGACAUUAUUACAUAUUAAAAGUACAUUAAUUAAUAAUUAUAUAAUUUUCAUAGCAAAACUAACAUUAACAUGUUUGAAAUCAUAUCACAAGAUCGUCCUAAACUCUAAACUCUAAUGCUCAAUUAAUCGAAAUUAAGCUCAUAAAUGAAUAUAUGGAUAUUCAUCCAAUUCUUCGAAAAGAUAGUGCAUAAGUAUAAAGAGGUACACAAUAACAAAACUUCGAUACAUGUUGAACAUAAAUUACCAACCAAAAUCUUGAGGUUGCAUAAAACACUACAAAACAAAUCUCAUGAAUGCACAAAUGCUAACCUGAAACACAAUAUCAAUGACUCAAACAUACAUCCUAUGACAUGCCAACUAUACCAAAAACUAUCUAAAGUCGUUUAAAUGGGUUGUUAUCAUAUUAAACAUAAUUUGACAUUUACAAUCUAGUCACUUAUAGCACAUGAAUGAGCAGCAUCAUAAUUCCAGUAACCAUUUUCCUUUAAGUAGAAUUUAGUCAUUAACACGAACAUUCACUCCAUCAAACAUAAUACUAAGUAUAUGAUCACAUCAUUAUACCAUCAUCAACCAUACAUAACGUAGGAACAAAUUCUAAGCAUUUCAAUUUAGAUAAUAACAUAAAAUAAAUUGGAAAUUAAAUUGCACAAAUCGAAAUCGCUCAAGCUUCUGUGAUUUUCUCCUUCCCUUCGAUUUUGAAUUUUCAUCGACCUCUUUUGCUUCAAAAUCAUUAUCAACAUAACAAGUUAGCAUAACAAUAAACAAAAAUCAAAGUCGCUAAAAAAAAGCAUGCGUUGCAAUCAAGCGAAACUCCUUCUCACUUCUAAAUUCCUCUCUAGAUAACUUUAUCCGAAACUUAAAUCUAACCUUAAAUUCAUACUUUAAGAACCUAAAACUAAGUUUAGAACACUAAAACCUAUACUGAGAACUCAAGAUUACAACACAUUCCUUUCAACAAUGACAAAACUUGACAACGCACCUAAGACUUCAAUCAAACUUGAGAUUUGACAUUCUAAAGGUAUUCUAAACUAAAGAACAUCAAGAAUCUAACUUGAAAACAACCAAAAACCAUUGAAUCAAGCCUACUCUCAUUAUAGAAAAAAUAACGUAAAUAAAGAGAAAAGAGGGUAAAUGCUUAAAUCAAAUCUUUCAAAGCUAAAGUCAAUUAAUAAGGUUUGAAAAUCGUAUUACCUUGCUAAACAUCAAUGCUUGGAUCCAAGAAAACUCAAGAAUCAACUUUUUCCUUCAACGGAGAAUUUUACACGAAAGUUAGAAUUUUUUUUUUUGGAAAAUAUGAUUUUCAAAAGAUAAAAUGUUAAAAUGUUUGGAUAGAAAUCUACUCAACAAAGCUUGCAUCCUUGAAGUCUUGUUUAUGAGAAAAUAAUUUGAAUGGUGAAAUGAGAAAUGUUAUAUUGUUCCCUCCAACCACUCUAGACUAAUGGGCCAAUUUCUAUUUAUUCCCUAAUCUAAUUCUUAUAUAAACCCUUAUAAAGCUCUAAAUCUAAUUUAAAUGAAUUUAGAUAUUGACCCAAAGAAUUUUACAACCCUUGUGAUCAAGUCCUCACUUCACUACCCACUAAUUAAUAUCAAUUAAAACAUAAUAAAUGCACUAAAUAUUUACUACUUGACUCACAACUCAACCUAAGGCUCAUUCAAGAAUAGCUCAAUUCAUAAUUUCGAUUCAAAAUCGAUCUUUUUCCGAUUUUGGAAAAAAUUAGGGUUUUAUAAAUGACUUUACAAUGUUAACCCAAUAUUGCCUUUAAUGACCCAUAUUUACAAUUCUAGCCCAUACAUAGAAUUAGGCUCACAUCAAUACCCUUCUUGCAAAGAAUCCUAGUAGUCAAGGAUUAAAGCUUGUGAUCUCAUCACCUUCAUGACCAUAGGCGUACAAAAUAGUCGUUAUAGGCAUGUACAUCUCCUAGUAAGUAAUGAAAGAAUGAUCCAACGGAGAGAGGAGUUGUAAGAAAUGGUUCCAAUAACAAUUUAAUCUUUUUUUUUUAUAUCGUUUAAGUGAUGAUAAUGUGACAUUUUAAAAUAGUGUCACAUAAUUACAUGCUUUUCUAAAGAAAGAAUUAUAUAAAAAAUUAAAAAUUUUUUAUGAAUGCAUGUUUAUAAUGAACUUGGACAAAUGAACGUUCAAGUUCAUCCAAGUCUAAAUAAUCAUUUAUCUAGAUUAAUUUUAAACGCGAUAUUUUAAAUAAUUUUAUAUAUAUAUUUUUUAUAAUUUUAUAAAAUAAUAAUUUCAAAUAAACUCUCACCUUAUAAAAUUUUUUGAAUUUUGAGGAGAUGAACUUAGGUGUCCAUUUGUUCAGGUUAAUUAUGAUUAUGCACUUUUCAAUAUUCUUUUACAUUUUUCUUCAUUUAAAAAAAUUAAAAUAAGUUUUUAAAAUUUUAAAAUUUUUAUGAUUUUAUAUAUAUUUUAAAAUAUUUUUUUAUAUAUUCUAUAACUUUCAACAUUUUUUGAUUAAUUUUAUCAUUUUUAUAAAUUUCUAUUUUUGAAUUCCAAAACUUUUAAAAAUUUUCUAUAAUUUUAAUUAUAGAUUUAAAAAAUAUUUUUUAGAAUAUCCAAUCACCUCUUAAUGUUAUUAAAAAAAAGAAUUAAUAAUAUUAAAAUUCACACGUAAAUGGAUGGAGAGAUGGAUAGAUAGGUAAGGGACGUGAUGCUGUGUUGAUAUCUUGCUGCGGUAGUGUUGUGGGACUUGGGGAGUAGUGGUUGUUUUGUGGUUUGGACGUCUGUCCAUCAUCAUAGUUUCUGUUUGAGUGGGCUUUACUCCAUUUUGUUUUUGUGAGUUCUAAGGGCCCAAGGGGCUUGACUCGGUCAUACGGAAGUUGGGUAUUUUAAUUGUUUCCUUUGGGUGUCGGUCUGGGCCUCUAACUAAAAUAAUAGUAAGUUUAGAGUCACAUGCAUGUUAAUCUGACUUUUCAAGAACUUUGUAUAAGAUAAUAAUGUGCUACUGGCUUAUUAUGUAUGAAAGUUAUCUUAUCAGAGUUGCAAUAUUUUCAUAACACUAUGUACUUGGACAAUAAUGAUUGAUUUUGCUUGGGAUUGGAGUUAACUGCGGUUUAUUAUUAUUUUUUCAAUAAUUUUAUUAUAGAUUUUAAUUAUAUCUAAUCUUUUUAACAUAAUGUCUAGAAUUAUUCAUAGUCCCUUCUCAACCUAUAAAUAGGAAGAUAACUCGUUUCAACGCACUCAAACCCACGUCUUCUUACAUUGACAACUAUACUCAUACUAAUCAAAUUAAAACUCAAUCGAUAACUGAUGUUUGUUUAGAUAAGUACUUCCUAAUGAUACAAUGAUUAUUAGGUGAAAUUAACCAAUGAUGUACUUGUUCUAACUAAUUAUGCUUUAAUACCAUUGAUGAUCUGGAAAGGCUAAUGUGAAUGUUAAUAAAUAUUUUAGAUUUCGUAGACGAAACUACUAAGAUGGCACCUACUAGCAGGAUAUCUAUACCUUAACUAAAAGCCAUCUCCUAAACCAAUAGAAUUUCGGAAUUUUGAUUUGAGGGUGUUUGAUUAAGCAGCUAAGCAGUGGGGAAAUAUGAUUGAAAGGGUAGUUAACAGAUAAAGUUUUCCAUUCUUUCUUUGUAAGUUAAAAGUUUUAUUAUAAAAAAUUAUUUUGUUAUAUAUGUUAAAAAUUAGGGGAGAAGAUUACAUUAACACUGCUCAACCAGAUUUCAAAAAAGGAAUUUAAUUACUGCUCAGGUACGUCAUUAGAGGUAUCCAUCGGAGUGAGCCUAAUAACUAAUACUUCAUAUUUUAUAGGCUUAUUAAGAAGGCAGAUGCUAACCACAAGGAUUUUUAUUUUUAAUUUCUUUACUUCGAGUAUUUUUGAGAGUAAGCGAAGUAUUAUUGUAAUUAUUAUGUUAUAGUUAUUAUUUUUAGUUUUAUAUAUUGUGUUUUAAUUUAUUUUAUAUUUUGCAUAAUUUAUUAUGUUAGUUCAAUUUAGAAAAUUAAAUUGUGUAUUUGUGUCGGUAUAUCAUAUAUUGCAUACUUCAUAUCUAUCUUACAUAGUAAUUCAUUUUGAUUCUAAAUUUAUAAACUUAGAAGUUAAAUUAAUGCAUAUAAUAUAUAUUUGUAUACUUAAAUAAAAGUUAUCUAAAUGCAUGAGAUAAUUUUUAUGGAGCGGUUGUUAAAACUUUUGUGAAACACCUAUUUGGUACGGGUUUGAGUCGUGUUACCCUCAUCCCUUACCUUAAUAUUUUAUAAAAAAAAUGACUGCGAAUGAUUAAUUUUUAACCACUUGUGUCAUUAAAAUUAUUUUGGGGAUAAAUAUGUAUUAGGUCAUUUGUUAUGAAUAUCUUAUUAUUAAGUGGAUGUCCAUCAAGAUCAAUAUAAGCUUAGUGUACUUUAGGACUCUAAUAUUCAUUAGAAGUAGAAUUUUAUUUUAUUUAUAUUUCUUACAUUUAUAAAUAUAGACUUUAGAGAAACAUUGUAAAUAACUUAUUGAUCAAUAAAAAAUCGUUCUCUUUUGCACUCCUAUUUCUUGUUCUCUAUUCAUUAUUUAUUUCAUAACAUAUUAUCAUCACGAUACUCGAUAAAAAAAAUACUGUCUAAAAACUCGCCCACGAGAAAAAACUUUUUUAGCUUCUUUAAGCGUUAGUCGUUUGAGAUUUUUUGUCAAAAUUUGUCAGGGAAAAGAAACCUACUGUUACUAAAGAGAGUUGAGCUUAGGUCCCAAGUCUCCAUGGUCGUUUAACCACUUAUCUACGCACGAACCAUUACUAGUUUAUUUUAAGAAACUUAUAAAAUCAAUUGCUGUCAGAGAAGAAAAGAAAGAAAGAUCGCUAUACAAGGGAAUCUGUAAUACCCCUAACCCAUAUCCUUUGCCAGAACAGGGUUACGAGCAUUACCAAAAUUUACAGAUCAAUUUUAGUCAUUUAAUAUCAUUUAAAUAUUCAUAUCAGAAUCUAAUCAUAAUCAAUCAUAUUGUCCCUUAUAUGAGCCCUCGAGGCCCAAAAUAUGUAUUAGAAACAAGUCGAGACUAAAUCGGGUACUCAAAGAAUUUUUCACCAAAUAUCAAAAAAAAUUUUAAGGUACAGGGGACACAUGCCCGUGUGGUCAGGCCGUGUGUCUCACAUGGUCAAGAGACACGCCUGUGUCUCAAGCCAUGUGGACAUUCGAAAUAGGGGCACACGGCUGUGUGUCUCACACAGUCAAGAGACACGUCUGUGUCUCAGGCCGUGUGGACAUUCAAAAUAGGGGCACAUGGCCGUGUCCCAGCCCGUGUCCAAAUUAGGGUGCUUACUGACUUGGGUUACACGGCCAAGCCACACGCCUGUGUGCUAGGCCGUGUGAGCAUACUAACUUGCAAUAAAUAGGUGCAGGGGUCACACGGCCAAGUCACACACCCGUGUGCUAGGCCAUGUGAAAAAUUUUGGGUAUUCUGUUUUGAAAUUUUAAAGAUGCACGGGACACACGGCUUAGCACAUGAGCGUGUGACUUGGCCGUGUGACCCAAGUCAGUAAGCACCCUAAUUUGGACAUGGGCAUGUGGCUUGACCGUGUGACCCAAGUCAGUAAGCACCCUAAUUUGGACACGGGCUGGGACACAACCGUGUGCCCCUAUUUCGAAUGUCCACACGGCCUGAGACACAUGCGUUUCUCUUGACCGUGUGAGACACACGGCCGUGUGCCCUUAUUUUGAAUGUCACAAAUAGCUGAGACACACGCCCAUGUCUCUGCCCAUGUGGACGAAAAUAGGUCAUUUCUAAGGCCACUUUUCUCACCCAAUUUGUCUUUUACCUACAUUAACACUUCAACACUUUCACCAUCCAAUGCAAGACAUUUAACUCAAGUCAAAACCAAGUUUAACACAUAUCAUAACACCCCAUAUGUCCAAGUAUUCAAUCUUACCUAGAUGACCAUAUAAAUAUAUAUGCAUAUUUCUCCAAUCAUGUUAUCUCAAACCAUUCAUCAAUAUACCCAUAAAUUAUCCAUUCUUAACCAUAUCAAACACAACUAACAUGAUAAGGACACACAUAUUUACAUAUCAAAAUAUGUCCAACUCAAGCCAUUCUAAUGGCUAUUUAACAACAAAAUAUUUUAAAGCCAAAAUUGGCCAAAUUACCCUAUACAUGCCAUUAUAACCAAAAUUAGUUUUCUAUAUAUACCGAAAUGGGCUGAUGGAUAGUGUGAGAUAUCUCCGCCAAGCUUCCAACCCAACGAGCUUUUAAAGUACUAUAAAAUAGAGGAAAUAAAACAGAGUAAACAUUUAAUGCUUAGUAAGUUUGUAUAACGGGAAAUUAACUUACCAUUCAUUUACAUUUAAGUAUACAAAAUACAUCCAAAGUAAAUUGGCUAAUAGCCCAAACACAUAACUUCAUCAAAUAUGUUAGUCAUUUAUUUCACAUGAAUAUCAAGAAACAUGUAUGAGCUCAUCAAAUAUCAAAUUUCCAUGUAUUCUGUGUAUAUAUAGAUAAUGAUUCACUUUGAAUUCAUAUAUUUUCUCAUAUAAGGAUUUUACCCGUUGAAUCAUUUAAAAUAUCGAUGGAUACACGGGUAGUACACAUGAAGUGUACAAAUCUGAAAUCCGUCAAUUCAUAUUCGGGAAUGCUCAUACAAGCACAUAAACGAGAAGCUCUUUCGAGCCAUAUAAUGGGAAGCUCAAGUGAGUCGUGUAACGGAAAGCUCUGGAGAGCCAUUAACGGGAAGUUCAAGCGAGCCAAUAUCGAGAAGCUCCGGAGAGCCAUUAAUCGGGAAGUUCAUGAGAGCCAGUUAUCGGGAUGCUUUGAAGAGCUAAUUAUCAAAAAGCUCAUAAGAGCCAUAAACGGGAAUCUCGUAAGAACCAUAUAAGGGGUAGCUUUGGAGAGCCAUAUAUCAGGACGCUCAUAAGAGUUGUGGUAUGUCCACAACAUAUGCAGGAUCACAACCAAUUAGGAUGCUCCGAAGAGCUAUUAACGAGAAACUCGUGAAAGCCAAAUAUCGAGACACUCGUAAGAGCUAUGGUGUGUCCACAACACAUGCAGGACCACAACCAAUUUAGGAACCCUGUAUCCAUCGAAUUUCAUUUGUACAAACGGAACUUAAUUCUUGUCAGACAUUGUCGGAUAUGUGAUUGAUUUUCAUAUAUGAAAAUUACAUAAUUCACAUACAUAACAUUCAAUUUAAACAUAUAAUUAUACAAUUUAGUUACACAAACUUACCUCGACAAUAUUCGUGAACUUGUAAGCUAUUAAUCCAAUACUUUUUCUUUACCUCAAUCUAGCUCUGUAUUAGGUCCAUCCGGAUCUAUACGAAUGAAUUUUAACAUCAAUUUAUAUUCAAUUCAAUUCAAUCCACAUCUUUGGAAAAAUUACCAUUUUGCCCCUAUAUUUUUAUUUAAUUACAAUUUCGUCCUAGGCUCGAAAAAAUGAAAUUCAUGCAAUCUAAUCCUUAUUCCAAGCCUAGCCAAUUUUUACAUAUAACAUUAACAUCCCAUGUAUUUCACAAAAUUUAGAAUUUUUCAUAAAUUUUACAUCUUUUUGAUUUAGUCCCUAAAUCAUAAUUUCAUCAAAAUUCCCUUUACAAAAGUUGUUUAUCUAUCAACAACCUUUCAAUUUCUACCAUAAAACUUCAUAAUUCAACUAUAUUCAUUCAUGGAAAAGCCCUAGUACUUUGAUAGCUUUGCAAAUUAUCCCCGAGAUAGCUAGAUUAAGCUAUUACGAUAUCAGAAAUAUAAAAAUCAUUAAAAACGAGACAAGAAUAGUAACCCAAUUGAGCCAAAUAAGCUUGCUAACUUCAAGCUCUUCUAACUAGGGUUUCCAUGUCUUUUAUUUGAGAAAGAUGAUAUAAAAUAAUGAUAUUAGAUUUUUAUUUUAUUUAUCAUCUUUUUUUAUUUACUUUCCAAUUUAGUCCUUUUCUUUAUUUAAUUUUCCAAGGAUGAAUCAUCAUACUUAUCUACUAACUCCUCCUAAUGGUCUAUUUGCCAUAUAAGGACCUCAAAUUUUGAAUUCCAUAGCUAUUUGACACCUAUAGCUAUUAGAACUCAACUUUUGCAUUUUUAUGCAAUUUGGUCUUUUUUUAUCAGAUUAGACAUGAAAUCAGUAAAAUUUCUUUACAAAAUUUUCCUACAAUAUUCCUAUCAUACUAUAGACCAUAAAAUAAUAUUAAAAUAAAUUUUCUUCCGACCUCGGAUUUGUGGCCCCAAAACCACUAUUCUGAUUUUACUAAAAACGGGCUGUUACAAAAUCAAACGUGUAGCCACUAGUAACACCUAUUAACUUUUUUAACAUUCAAGCACUCAAAGAUUUUUAAAUUUUUGGUGCCAAGAAAUUUAUAAAAACCAAUUCAUCUUAUCUGGUAUGUUUUCUUUCCUAUUUUUUUUGGUAAAUUGUUUUAUGAAAAAAAAUUACUUCACAGUUUCUUUCAAACUAGAGUUUAUUUUCGUCCACUAUAUUGGUACCUGAGCCUAAUUCCAUUACUUUUUACUGACGUGGCAGCGCUAACCAUUCGCACACCGCAAUGUGUCACCCUGUUUGUACUUUUUCCUUUUUAUUUUUUUUCAUUUUCCCUCUAUUUUCUUUUCUUCUUUUACUUUUUCCUACCCUAGCCGCAAUGUCUAACAAGCAUUGUAAAAUCAAUAACAACUUUCAAUUCAAGCAAUAACACUGACAUGGAGGCAACAAUGCCUCAGCCGCCAUAGCAGUGGCAAGAGCCACAAAGCAAAUAAAAAUCUAAAAAAAUCUAGGAGAACGAAGUUGACAAGAGGCCGCCAUUCUCUCUUUGUCGUUUCUCUCUUUGGAUUCUGCUAAUGGCGAAGCCAAUGAGAGGUCAUCGUUCUCCUUCUGUCUCUGGCUUUGACUCCUCUUCCCUUUCUCGCUCAUGGUUUAGCCUUAAGAGGAUGCCUUCAACCAUGUUUUGGAGUCAAAGAACCGUCGAGGACGUUGAAAGUAGCGGAAUCUGACACCAAAACUUCAGAUUUGGCAGAGGGAGCAAGCUUAUAAGACUUUUUUACUCUGGUAAGCUCUUCGACCAACAAUGAUAGCAAAAUACUCAUUUCCUUCCUCUUGUAAGCACCAGCUUUAAUUUUUAAUGAUUUCACAUUUAAAGCUUCACAUCCAAAAUGAAUGAAACGUAAAACUUAGAAGAAAACUAAAGAGGGAGGAAAUGAGUCAUCCGGUGUUGUCGUUAGCUCACCGGAGGAGGCUAAACAAUGGCCUAGAAGUAGUGUAGAAGCAGAUGACUAGGGUAGGAAAAGAAAAAGAAAAAAAAAGGGAAGAAAAAAACAAAAGAAGAAAAAGGGAAAAUGAAAAAGAAUAAAAAAAGGUGCAAAUAGGUGACACGUGGCGACAUGCGAAUGGUCAGCGUUGCCACGUUAGUAAAAAAGUAACGGCGUUAGGCUCAAGUACCAAUAUAGUGAAUGGAAAAAAAGUUCGAGUACCAAUUUGGGACAAAAAAAAUCAUAAGUACCAAUAUGACAGAAGUGGACAAGUUUGGGAACCAAUUUUAUAUUUAAUCCUAUUCCUUAAAAAGAACGAACAUAUGUCUCGUAGACAAUACAACAAUGCAUACUAUUUUAAGGAUAAAAAAACAUUUUUAUUGUUCCGUAAUGAAACAAACUAAACUUUAGUAGUACAAAAUUAAUUUAAAGCUUCAGAAGAGCUAAUAUAAUGUUACCCUAUGUUCAAUAAGGCAAUGAAACACGUUAAUAUUAUGUAUUACAAAAUUAAUUCAAGGCUCUAGAAGAGUUAAUACGUUGUUAUCCGAACAAACAAAAUAAUGGUUAAUGUAUCAUGUUCUAGUCAGUCUCAAAAAAAUUAUUUUGUUUUAAAAUAUAUUCUCAUUGAUGGAUCUCAAAUUGAGAUUGUAUCUUAUAUUGAGAUUGUGAAUGAGAAAAAAAUAUUUAGUAUGAAUCACUCUUGCUAUAAAUAUCUACAUCUUUUGAUAGAGAAAGAUUAAGUUAUUGAAUUAUAUUAUGCACGAUACUUGGAUACCUAUCUUUAUUUUGAAAAUGAUAGAGAAAUAUUGAGUUUUGAUUGUCAAAGAUCCACUUGAACUGUGGAUUAAUUUAAGAGAAAUAUAUAACCAUCGAAAUAUGAUAAAUUUAUCUAAAGCUCGUUAUGAUUGGAUGUACUUGAAGUUACAAUAUUUUAAAUUUGUAAGUGGGUAUAACUUUUAAGUAUUUAUGAUGAGUUCUCAAUUAUGUUGGAAUAAUAUUACUAUUGAGAACUUAUUAGAGAAAACCUUUUCAACUGUUCGUGCUCAAAUGUGCUCCUACAUUAGCGAUACCAUGAAAAUAAAAUGUUUAAAGAUAUAUUAUGAAUUAAUGUCAUGUUUACUUAUGAUUGAUUUAAAUAACGAGUUAUUAAAUGAAAACAUUAAGCCUGUUGUAUUAGAUAUGCUCCAUUUUAUGAAGUGAAUGUAGCAAUAUAUAAAGAUGCAAUCUUUGAAGUGGAAAUGGUAAGUGGUUUUAUAAUAAUCGUAAAAAAGAUGGCCAUAAUAAUUCUUCUCACCACUAGGACUAGAAAAAUGAAGAUAAUGUGGAGACUGAUAAUAAGAUUACUGCUAAAAUUAAGUUUAGUGGUUUCAUCCUAUAUUCCAACUUUUAAUUGUUGUUCAUUUAUGAUAUGUUUAUACUACAGUUUGCUUAAUUUUGCACAUAUAUAUACAAAUGAAAAUUUGUUUGUGCGAAUUUUGAAAAUUGAUAGAUUUCAUUUGCAAUAUAAAUGCACAUGGUUUAGGCUAUGAUUUUAUUGUAUUGAGUUUAAUGUUUUAUAUUUGGAUGCUUCAAAGACAAAAUUUAUAAUUACCUCUCAACUUAUUAAUUUGGUGUUUUCUUCAAUACAAUACUAGUAUAUCUACUUGUAUGGUCAAAUCACAUGUAAUGGUAAACUAGAAGUUUAUCUUAGUAUUGUUGAAUCACGUGCAUAGUAAAUCAAAGUUAUUAUUAGUCCAAAUAUACUAAUUAAUUGACAUGAUCGGUUAGACCAUCUCAAUAAAUAAUGAUACGCCAAAAUAAGAAUUUAGAUGAAAGUUUAUUAAGGAACUCGAAGAUUCUUUGUUUUAAAGAUUUUUCAAGUGUUGUUUUUUUCUCAAAGAACAUGAAUUAUUAGAACCUCUCUAAUAAAAGUUGAGAUUGAAUCUCUAGUAUUUCUGAAAGAAAUAUGGGCUCAUUUAUCUAAUAAGUGGAUGUUUUGACAUAAUUUUGGUAGAUGCAUAUACAAGUUAAUCUCAUGUGAGUUAUUAACUUGCAACUUGUAGUUUGCGAGAUUACUUGUUUAAUGGUUUGUUUAAGAACAAAACUUUAAGAAAUGCAAUCGAGAUAAUUUUUGCUAACGUUGGUAAGUUUAUUUCUCAGGCUUUCAAUGAUUAUUGAAUGUUAGAUUUUUAGUGCGAGUAACAAUCGCAAAAGAUCUGUUGUUUAUACGUAUGGUUUAGCAAAAUUUAUGAAGUAAAUGUCUCUAACUAGUAACUAAAUCAUAUCUUUUGAGAACAAAACUUUUGUAUAUAAAUAAGGAUAUGAUAUUUUACAUGAAGCGUCACUUGUACGUAUCAUGCCAAUAAAUUAUGCUAAAAACUCCCCAUUACAAUUGGCUUUUGGUGAAGAUCCAAAUAUAACCCAUUUUAAAAUUAGAAGUUUUUAAUGUGCGUAUAUGUUUAAGUUGCUCCACUACAAUGCGCAAAUAAGUAUUUAAAGAAUGUUGGGAAUAUAUAUUAAUUAUAUAUCUUCUUGUAUUAUUAGAUGUUAUGAAUGAAUUAGAGAUUUAAUUAUGAUACGAGUUUAUUACUAUUUUGAUUUGACAAUUUUUUUAAUAUCAAGGAGAGCGAAAUAAUAGCUGGAUGAAAUAAUUACUUGGAAAGAAUUAUCAUUAUAUAGAUUCUCGUAGAAAGUAAUUUGAACUAGAAGUUUAAAAAGGAUAAUUCAUUUUAUAGCAAGUUAACCGUUAGAUGAAUUUAUUGACCUGAUGAGAAUAAUCAAGUGUUAUAUACCAACAAAUGUUUUUAUUUGAACCAAAGUCUCAUUAGAACAAUCUGCUAGAAUAAUUGAAAAUAAUGCACGCUUGAAGUAUGGUAAACCUAUUGGUUUCAAAUAUGAAAAUUCUUGCAAAAAAAAAAUCAAUAUGGUUAAUAAUGGAGGCGGGUGCUCCUGAAGAGACUCAAGACAUAACUAAUUAUUUAAAAUCUAAAUAUGAAAACAAUGAAAAAAAAAGAGAUCUCAAUAAGUUAUGUCAAUACGAGAAAGUAUAGAAUCGUGGAAAAUAGAAAAUUGUCGAUAAUGAUUUUGCAUGCAAUAUUAUUGUUGAGACAAUGAGGAGAUGCAAUAUUAUUGUUGAGACAAUGAGGGGGAUCUUGAAUAAAAUUGUCAAGAAACAUAGACAUGUGUAGAUUGGCCAAAAAAAAAAACAAAAAACAAAAACGCAAUUCAUGUAGUAUUAAAUUUGUGAAGUUUGUGGACCAGUAGUCCAAACAUUUAAAUGUAGAAAGUUAGUGGGGUUCAAAUUAUGAGAAGAUAUAAUAUUCUUUUGUGGUUGAUGCAAUAACUUAUAUAUAUAUAUAUUAUUAAGUCUAGCAAAUUAUGAAAUAUUUGACAUGGGUCUUAUGAUUGUUGUUACAAUAUUUAUGCGAAUCACUAUAUAGUGGAAGUUUAUAUUAAACUCCUUGAAGGAUUUAGAACACUGGAAGUAUAUAGAAAUUCUCAGGAAAUUAUUUGAUACAUUUGAGUAAAUAUUUAUAUGAAUUAAAUUGAUUUGAACAUAUGUGAUAAAUUCGACUUAGUGAAUAAUAGUUAAAGUAAGAUUAUAAUCCAACUUUAGCAUGUAUAGAGGGAUCAUGAUCAAAGUUUACUAAGAUUAUUGUUGGAACUCUUGAAGAUAUUAAAAUAUGCUUCCCCAAAAGUAUUCAUCACUCGUAACUUUCAGAAGAAUGAUAAUAUAAAUAUUUAAUAUACGAUCAUAAUUUAGAGAGAUUUAAAGUUUUCUAGAGAUGUUUGAUAUUUUGGAUUUUGAUUUAGUAUAAAUAUAUUUUAUCUUGCAUACUUAUAAAAUUUUCCUUAAGAGUACGUCGCAUUGUUCUGUUCCGAAUUCUUGAAACAAAAAUAAAAAAAAGAUGAAGAAAAGAAUGUUUGGAGGAAUAUUUUGGUUUAAAUAUAAAAUAAGAGAUAAAAGCAUUCUGCCUUGGAAGGGGAAGUUGCAUUGAUACGAUGGGCUUGGGAGAACUCAAAUCUCCCAACAUGUGAAACAAAAUGGUUUGUAAAUAAGACAAAUUAAUGCACCAAAUCGUAAAAUAUAGUCCUACGUAUAUAGCCAUAUAUUGGAGAAUAUAGCAAAAGCAUGAUCGUCAUUCGUCUCUUUCUGUAUGAAAACUGCGACUCAAAUAUCAAUCUCUCUGGUCCCGAUGGGGUAUCGGCUUUGCUUUUGCCAGCUGUAAUCAACAACGUUUCGCUUCUCCUGGUUUUAAAUUCGAAAUUCAGCAAACAUACAUACAUACAUAAUGUUCAUGAAAGAAUAUUUCGCAAUGGAAACAGAGACCAAAUAACUUAAAAGAGGAGAGAUACUUGCAACUUUGGUUCCACUUCCCAGAAGAGAGAAAGAAGCUAUACAUACAUACAUGGAUAUAACCCCCACCAUAGCCACAGAGGUUGAUUUAUAUAAUAUAAAUUAGCAUGAUACCAAAACAUGCUCCCCAUUUCCAUUAAUGUGGGCAAAUUACAUGGAAAGGAAAACCGAACCUCCACUGUACGCACGUCUUCAUAGCUUAACAACAAAAUCUAAAGCGCAGUUGUGGACCAAAACAAAAGAUCCUUUCCUUUUUCCAAAAACGCAUAACUAAACUCUAAGCAGGUAAACACUGAGCUCAGGGCCUCCGGAACCAUCAGGAUUCAUCAUGUAAAAGGCUUCCGAGUCUUUAGACCCAACAACCCUCUCGAACUUGGCUCUCAUGUACAUCAGCUCACCUUCGGACCCAGCUCCAUUGUCAUUGCAGUUUCCUGGUAGCACACCCGCACCCAUUGAAAUUGGCUCCACCGCCUUUAACACUUUCCACUCUUCGGCUCCGCACUCGCGCCUCAUUGCGAACCCACAUUUCUUUCCAUUGCAGUAAGUCCUCCAAACAGGCUCAUUCAGCAACUUCACCCCUUUCUUCCCCAUCGUCUUUUCACACUCUAAGGCAAUUCGAACCAAUCCAGAAGCCAUUUCCCGAACUAAAACACUAGUCGGUGUUGCAAGUUGGAUUAAAAAUGCUGGACUUACUUUUGCUUCUUCUUGAAAUGCAAAGUGGACGUGACCACGCCGAUAUCCAAACAGGGUUCCUACCACUCUGGUGCCUAAACCUGAACGAUAUGCUGAUGUAUUCUUCCCAAACACACUGAGAGCCGACCGAAGUCUGGAAACUGACACAAUUGGAAGCUUCUUUCUUGGUGGUGGAACUAAAGAAACUCGACUGGCCACUGGGAUUCGGAGCUCCUCUGCUUCCUUAGCUUCCUCACAAAAAUGCGAGGAGGAGCUGAAGGUUAGGAUUUCUUCCUCGUUGUCAUCAUCAUCUUCCACCUUCUUUUUCCAGUUGAAAUAUCUCCUGGAGAAGGAGAAAGAAGAAUCGUGGGGGCUCUUGGCUGUGAUUGUCUUCAUAUGGGAAGGAAAGAAAGAAGGAACUAAGCAACUCCUAGAGCCUUUGAUAGUCAAGUUUCGGUGAGUAAAGAGAGAAACAGGUAUAUAUAAAUAAAAGAGUGUGACUAUGUAUCUAUUAACUUUUCAGUAGUUGUGGGGUGGAUUUAUUCUUUGCGUCUUAAUGCCUUUUUUGUCAGCAUUGUAGGAUUGAGGGGGGACUUGCAAGGAAAUCCUGACAAGGGAGGUUGAGCAGCCCCACCUAACUGUAACAGUAGUAAAAAAAAAAAAAAAUAUAUAUAUAUAUAUAUAUAUAUAUAUAUAUAUAUAUAAAAGAAGAUGGAGAAGCUAAUAGAGAGAGAAAGAGACUUGAAAACAAGUAGAGGAGAAUAGCGGGAAUCUGAGGAGACAAUAGCUGAGUGUGAUUUCUUUUUCAUGUGGGGGAAGAAUAGGCUGAAAAUAAGGGCAGUGUGGGGUAAAGACCAGAGAGUGAAAAGGAGAAUUGACUGUCUACUCUGACUUGCAUUGGAAAGUGUUAAAAGGAUAGGUAAAACCACACCAACCUUACCCACCAUCUCCAGUAUUCCACCUUUGGGUUCUUUCAGCUCCUGUCUUCAUUUGCAAUUGCAAUACAACAGUAGCCCGCCGUAGCCCCAACCUCAAUCCCCCUUCUAUUCUAUGCUAAUGCUACCACCUAUAACUUAUGAUCCAGCCAGACUCCGUGUUUUGCAUCCUUUAAUGUCUUUUUCUGAAUUUGAAAAAAUGAUUAGCCCGACUCGCUGUUUCAAAUAAAGCAGCUGGCGCAUGGUCUUUAUCGAUUCAGCAUUGUCUACGCUCUGUCUAGGUUAAAGCUAACUCUUCUUUUACCUUUUAAUUCUCAGUCCACAUAUCAUUACAAUUAUUCCUUCCUUUCAAAUUUUCAAUACCAUCUGGAAAUAAAAAAUAGUGUAUAUAAUACUCCACAGAACAGAACUAAUACUACGAAUAUUAUAAUUCUAUUUUGUUGUUUAAUAUAAAAAUAUUGAAAAAGGUAGAAUAUGGAACUUGAUGUAAUGCUGCCAAACCAUCACCCACUAGCAAAUUAGCAGAUAUCAGGUCUCCAGAAAGCAAACGAAAGGAAGCUCCUAUGAUUUGUUAAGUUGUAUGGUGGAGUAUCAAAUGUCAAAAAAGUUUGAACCUACUCAUAAUGACUAUUGUGACCAUUGAGCCAAUAAAUUUCAUGCAAAAGAAUGAGCUAAGAAUAAGAUAGGUUACAACCAAGGCAACCAUCUUUUUUUGGUACAUAUGUUUGAAAUUUGAGCUUAAAAAACUGAUUUAGGGUUGUCUCUCUCCACUAUAGCCACAGACAGUCCUUAGGUUAGGGUCAAGACCGGUUGAAUUUUGGAUCACCAUGAUUAAGUCCCAUCCACAUGCAAAUUGUUAGAAAAUGGCUUGUUUAACCUUUUUUUUCUAAUUUAUGGGACCGACCUAAUUCACGGACCAACUAACCAGGAUCCCAUCAAGAUCCUUAAGUUGAAGUUGACCUAAUUAAAUCUGAAGUAUGAAGGUUUUUCCUGUACCACCCCUAACCACUUUAUUUAGAUAUAUAUAAAAUGAUCUUACUCAACAGCUUAGGAAGUCAAAGUUUAAGCAACAAAUAAUGCAUUAAAUGUAGUAUAAAUUAACAAUACAAAAAAAAGAAAAGAAAAAAAAACAGAGACCUAUGUGGAUAGAUGACCAACCAAAAGGUCUUGAGCAUAAGCCAUGAGGAUAAUUUAUCAAUCAAAGCAGGAGAAAAUAGGUCACUAGCCAAAGAUGUAAAACGUUCAGCAGAGACGGAAGCCAGAUGGGCUGACCGGGUCCUAAUCAGCUGCUCCAAUUAGUGAAUUCGAAAUUUAUAAUGCUUACCUUAAUAUGUACAUCCAAUUCAAUUACCUAAGAAAUAAUCAAAUGUAUAAUUGGCGGCCUCUCAAAUUUUUUUUUAAAUAUCCUAAGUUACAUUAUGAAAUAGGAAAUUUGAUAUUAUAUUUAGUGCAUUAUUAGUGGAAAAAAAAUUCCACAAACUCGAGUUAAAUCAUUAUAAGUGUUCUUUGAAUUAUAUUUAAAAUUUAAUCAUCUUAAAUAAUAACCUUAUAUAUUUGAUAAAAUUUUUGGUAUAACCCUCAUUGAUAUUAAUAUAUAUUAGUUAAAUUCUUUUCUUCAAUUUUUAAUGAAUGUAUAUUUAUAUUAAUUAUUAAAUUAAUAUUAUUCAUUCCAAACAAAAAAGUAAACAUUAUAAUAUUAUACAACGAUGAGUAUUUGGUAUAUUGGCGAUAUGUUUUUUUUUUAUAUUUCACAAGUAAUCUUAAAAAAUUAGCAUGUUUUUCUUUUUCAUUUAAACAUUUAUAUUUUUAAUAUUUUACUAUACUCUUAUAGGACAUUGUCAAUCCCCUUAUCUUACUUGUGAAAUAUAAAAACUCUAGUAGUAGUGUGUCAAAUAAUCUCCCGUUGUACAAGUCUUAUGUUUUUUAUUGUGAUAUUAAAUAUUUAUAUAUUAAUUGUAUUAAAUUUUUUGAAAGGAUUUUAAUUUUACUUUUUUGAAGGAUAAUUUUGCAAGAAAACUUGGAGUUUGUUUUUGCAAAUUUGAAAUCUUUGUGAUAAAAAUAUAUAAGAUUUUGUAAAAAUAAAUACAAAAUUAUAAAAAUAUUUAUAAAUAAAUAUUGCUUUUCUCAUUUUCUAACAUGAAAUUUAUUUAUUAAAAUAACAAUUUUAUAAAUAAAAUCAUAAUCUUAUAAAUAAAAUAAUUUAAGGGAAAACAAACCAUGAAGAAGACUUGCGCAUAUUCAACAUUUUCAUUUUUUCAAUAUUAACAACUGUCAUAUUCAAGUUGGGUCAACAACUGUAAUUUGAGGUCGAAAAGGGGUGAGAAAUGAUGUCUUUAGGUUGUUCAAAAUGGAUUUGUUGCGUUUGAGGUUGUGCUUGAGGGUGGACAUUAUUGAUGGGUGUAUAGGUGAGGAUGAAGUUUUGGAGACCCAUUACGUGGAAGGCUGUAAUGGCCCAAAUUCAAAGUUAUCGGAAUAGUGGUUUCGUAACCACAAAUCCGAUUUAAAGAUAAAUUUAUUUUAAUAUUUUUGCAUGAAUAUUGAUAUGAUAGGAAAAUCGUAUGAAAAUAUUGAUAGAAAAAUUUUACCGAUUUAGUGGUUAGUUAGAAAAAGAAAUUAUUGAAGAAAUUGGGUAAAAAUAAGGUAUCGAGACUUUGAUCUCGUAAAACCGAGUCAAAAAUAAUUUUAUAAAUAAUUAUGAAAUAUUAGUAAUAUGGUAUAAAAAUUUCGUUAGAAAAUUUUAAUGUUUGGAUAGUCAAUUACGUAAAAAGGACUAGAUUGAAAAGGUGUAAAAGUUACUAGAAGGAUUAAAUAGUUCAAUUGUUAUAUGAGGAGGGACAUAAAUUGCAAAUAAUCCCAAAAGAAGAUAUUUUGGGCGGCAUACGUUGAGAAAAAUCAGGAGAAUUGAAGAAUUAAGGGUAAAAUUGGAAUAUUGCAAAAAUUGCUUUAAAAGUUAGGACUAAAGUGGAAUAUCUAGAAUUCUCUUCAUAUUUUCUGCAUUCUCAUCAGCCAAAAACGUCCCAAGGGUUUCUUCAAGCUGGUUUUUCAUAAUUUUUUCACCAAUUGAGUUAAUGCUUUCCUUUUUCUUGUAAUCUUUGUGUUUCUAAGACUUUUACAACUAGGUCCUAUUACUAAAUUCAUUAGCUUUUGAUUUUAUGAAUGAAAUGGAAAGUUGCUAUGAAUAUGUGCUGGAAUUUUAUGAUGAAAUAGGAUAAAAGUGAAGCUUUAAUUUGUUUAUGAGAUGAUUUUAUUAGGUGAUUUCAAUAGAAAUUGAUUUGUAGGACCUAAUUGUGAAAAAAUUUGGAAUUAAAGUCUAAUGCUAAAAUUAUGAUUUCAAAAGGUUAUAAAGUAGUUUAAAGUGAUGGAAUAAUGUGUUAAUUUAGGAAAAAUCAGCUCAAUUGAGAGGUUAAUUGAGCAAGGAUGAAAUUGUCAUUUAUUGAAAGUUUAGGGAAAAAUGGUAAUUAACCUCAUGCACUAAAACAGUUUGGACAGCAGCAGUAGGUUAACUUUGAAAAAUCACCAAAAAUUUUAGAAAUUGAAUUAGAGGAUUAAUAAAAUAUUAAAUUAAAGCUUAUUGAGUCUAGUUUCUUAUAAAAGAAAUGGUGUAAGCAAUGGAAUUGUAAAUCAUGAGAUAUAAUAGGUUUUGUGAGACAAGGUCAGAAUGAAUUCGGGUUCCCCUGUUCUGACUUUGGAAAAAUCAUUAAAAAUUGUACAAAAAUUAUUAUGAGUUAUACUUUAUAUCGUUAGAAUACUUAAUGAGUCUAUUUUCAGAAGAAACAAACAGAAACAUCAUCCGAAUUCUGUACAAUGAGAUAAUUAAUUUUUAGUGAAGAGGGGUUGGAACUGUCAACAAGUGAAAUAGGGGAAACUUUAAAGAAUAAAAUGUACUUAUUUGCUAGGAAAAAAAUUCUGAAAAUUUUAUGGUAAGAGGAUAUGCGAGUCUAGUUUCAGGGAAAAUUAACGGAUCUUAAUUUGGAGUUCCGUAGCUCAAGAUAUAAAUAAUUUAGUAACUGUGACUUAGUAAGACAGCUUUGAAUGCACUAUAAAUAAUAAUGGAAUUUUAGAGAAUGUUACAUAUGAACAUGAAAUGUAUUAGAUUAAUGAUUAAAUUUAUUUAUUUAGAUCCGGAAAAUUCAAAUACGAAGCUAGAUCGAGGAAAAGAAAAAGUUCGGGAUUAGUAGAUUUUUAUUUACGAACAAGUAUCGAGGUAAGUUCGUGUAACUUGAAUUAUAUUCAUAAAUGCUUGAAAUGUUUGUUAUUGAUGUGAAUAUGAUUUGGAUGUUUAUUGUAUGAUAACUGAUGAAGUAUUGAUAUUCUUGAUGAAAAGAGGAAAUAAAUCCCGGUUGAAUGAAAGGAAAAUUCGAUGGAUCUCUGAAAAAGAAUUGACGGUAAAAAGGAUCUAGCUCGGACGGGUGAUCCUAUCCUAAUAUAGCCCUCCCGAAGAAUAUGUGGAAAAUGAAUUUAGCCCGAACGGGUAAUCCAAAUUAGGGUCUGAAUUUAGCCUGGACUGGUAAUUCAGAUCCAAGCUCAUUAGAGUAAUUGUCAUUGCAGGGGAUUUAGCCUGGACUGGUAAUCCCGACAAUACUCUGUGAGUUUAUAUUACAGGGGAUUUAGCCUGGACUGGUAAUCCUGCUGUAAGGAUGAGGUUCGCGGGAGUGUGCUCUCUGAAAUGGAAAUGUGCGCACAUGAAUAUGAAUUGACGGACCCGAAAUUGUACACUAAAGUGUACCUCAGAAAAACCAUCGAAAUUUCAAGUAGUUCAACGGGGUAAAUAUGGAAAAAUAACAAGGAAAUGGAAAUCAUGGUAUUGAUGAGCUCAUCAAUCAUGGUAUAAAUUAUUGAUACAUGAAAAUUAUUGGACUAAUUUGAAUGUUGAGUUUGUGCAUGAUAGGGGAAUAAUGUAUGGAAUGGGUGUAUAUAUGUUUAUUACAUUGUAUGGAAAAUAUUAGGUAAGUAUAAUUCUUGUUACAUGAGCUUACUAAGCACAAUGUGCUUAUCCUGUUUCUUUUUCCCCUGUUUUGAAGUGUUAAGAGCUCGGAGGUCGGAUUUGGUUGGAGAAGCAUCACACUAUCAACCUCAAGAUCUCGGUACAUAAAGAAACUUAUUUUGGAAAUCAAUGGCAUGUAUAAGCUAGUAAAGUAGAUGUUAAUGUGGAAUGAAUGUAUGGUUAACCAUUGGUAUGGCUAACAAAUUUUGGUUUUGGCAUGUGAUGAGAUUAUCUUAUGAAUACAAUAAAUCUAUCUUGAAAAUAUGUUGAAAUUGAUUGGUUGUGUUGGCUUGGUCUCGGUUUAAAAUUUGCAAGGAGGAUUAGAUAUUUAUAAAGGGGUUAUAUUGAGUUUAAAAAAAAAUCAGUAAAAUCUGGUAAUACCUCGUAUCCUAUUCUGGCGGCGGAUACGGGUAAGGGGUGUUACAAAGGCCAUGAUGACAACUCCACAACCAACUAGUUCAAUGGCGUAGUGAUAGAUGACAUGAAAAUCGAAGAGUUCAGAGUAAUAAGGAUUAUUGGUGCCAGUGAUUGUGAAUGAAGGCGGUGUCCAACAUUCGGAAAAUUUGAUGAAGACUAAGGAAUAAGGUAAUAAGUCGACCCAAAGGUGAACAAGCCAUUAGAGGAACAGCCCCAACAAAAACAAUCCUUGCCAGAAGUAGUACGGAGCGGCAUUGCAAUAAUUUUAGAAGAGGUAUCUACAGGCAGGGGCAAAUCUAGAAUUUUUUUUAAGGGAGACUAGAGUUGAAUUAUAAAUUUUUUAAGAGUUCAAAAUAUAGUUUUAUCAUGUAUUAAUUUAUGAUUCAGGACUUAACAGAACUUUUUUCAUUGUUGAGGAGUGUCAAAGUACAAUUUAAGCAUAUAUAUAUAUAUUUGAGGAGCCUGUCUACAUGUAAAUCAGAAGGGAUGAGAUUAGGAAUGGUAAGUAUCUGACUCUCAAGUGUUAGGAAAUGCUUUAAAUAGAUGUCUAGGCCUAAAAAUAUCAUGGAGUAGGUAGUUAUUUAUUUAUAUUUAAAUGAUGUUUUUGGUUUUACACUACACCAGAACAAGUUUUUAGCGGCGUUUUUUAGGCCUUUAGCGGCGCUUUUUAACGCAACUAAAGGUAUUUGCGGCGCUUGAGGAAGCGCCACAAAAAAUGCCGCUACGGAUAACGUCACUAACUUUUGCGGUGCUUACAAAAAAAAACGCCGCUAAAGGUCAUGUUUUUUAGCGGCGCUUAGGAAAAAAACGCUGCUAAAAGUAAUGUUCUAUAGCGGCGCUUAAUAAAAAACGUCGCUAAAAGUAAUGUUCUAUAGCGGCGCUUGGUAGAAAACGCCGCUAAAAGUAAUGUUCUUUAGCGGCGUUUCAUCUACAAACGCAGCUAAAAGUAGUGUUCUUUCGCGACGCUUAUUUCACAAACGCCACUAUAUGAUAUGACUUUUAGCGGCGCUUUUUUAAAAAACGCCACUAAUUUUGGGAUUUUUUUAAAAUAAAAUUUUCUGUUUUUUUAGUCCUCCUGCAACAACAAAUCAAAAGCAGCCAUAUCUAAACUAACCAAAAACAAUAAAUUUAUAUAAUAUUUCAAAUUAAAUGACUAAAAUAAUAUUAAUAUUAAUAAAUAAAAGUGAAUUCAUACUUUUCUUUACAAAAAUGUUAAAAGUUAAAAUGAUAAAAAAUAUUUAUGCAAUAUACAUUAUGACGGCGGAAGUUGCGACUGCUGAAACAUCUUCAUCAUAAUCUGAAGCUGCUGUUGAAGUUCGUUGUACUUUUUGCUCUGCUCUGCUUCUCUCGAUGCCGCAUCUGCUUGAAGUCGUAGCUGUAGUUGUUCAUAUUUCUUUUGAACCUCUGCUUCUCUCGCUGCUUCUCUCGCUGCGGCCUCUGCUUCUCUCGCUGUAGCCUCUGCUUCCCUCGCUGCCGCCUCUGUUUUAAGUUGUUGCUGAAGUUCUUCAUAUUUCCUUUGAACCUCAAAUGUGGUCGCUUGCAUCUGAGCCAUCUGGUCUUUUAACCUCUGAACUUCAACUUGAGAUUGACUCCCCGAAGCCAUGUAUUGGUGCGAGUUGGAUCCAAAAUAUUGGGUUGGGCUGAUAAAAGAUCCUUGAAAUCGAACCUGACCAUACCUUUCAGGACCCAAAACUUCAGUAAUAAUCCGGUUAUCAAUGUCUUCAAGAUGAACAGAACUAUCACUAGAAGCAAUCGCUUCGUACUCCGUCUUUUUAUCCUUUAGUUUGUCCUAAUAAAUAAAUCACAUAGUUAGGAACGCAAUAUAUAUUAAAAAAAACAAAUGCAAUAUAACAAUAGUCGCAUUACAAGCAAUAAAUUAAACCAUUAGAAAAUAAACACUAUAAAUAACUAAAACAAGUCAAAUCGUAUUAAGUAAACGUACCAUAAUUUCACCAGCUUCAGGAGUCAUNNNNNNNNNNNNNNNNNNNNNNNNNNNNNNNNNNNNNNNNNNNNNNNNNNNNNNNNNNNNNNNNNNNNNNNNNNNNNNNNNNNNNNNNNNNNNNNNNNNNUCUUCUUAUGUGUAAUUUCAAAAAGUUGAAGGCGUCCAACUUUUUGACUGGACGAUCGUUCCUACAAUAUAGUAGUAAAAAUAUUAUUUAAUAGAAAGUUAUACAUAUUUGAGAAUAUUAAAAAAUUAAAAAUACCUCCGCCUCAGCUACACAUGCAAAACUUCUCGACCCGGCUGUGUGAGUGAAUUUUUGUUGUUGCCGGCUGCUUUUUCCAACUCGUUCACGAUCCUACGUUAUAAAAUUUUUAGUACGUAAAUAGUAAAUACUAUAAACCAAAAUAAUUACAAUAGUUUGGAAGUACGUCGUACCUCGCCUUUCUUCGAAUGCCAAAAUCUAACCGCAUCUUCCAAUUGGUACCUCAACAUACCCGGUGGGACAUUUUGCAAUUUCUCGUCGAGGGUUGUUUUUGUCUUAUAAUAAUUUUUCUUCAAAGUACUUUUAUUGUAUCUCCAUCUUUUUCCCAAUGCCUUCUUUACAUAAGCAUCCGAGACCUCUAAAGCAAACCUCGCCUACAAAAAACACAAGUUAAUAAAGUAAAUAUAAAUGAAACUAUUUCCCAAGCAUUACAGAUGACAUUAACAUUUUGUUACCUUAAUAUUAUCGAGGACUUGGUUUUUGUUGCUAUCGGGCAUUUGACGCCAUGACUCGUAGUUCAUAGGCAACAUAUUCGCAUUUCGUGCUAAAAUGCUCAUGUAUCCUGCUAAAAGUCGAGCUUCUGAUCCAACAGGCUGACCAAAACUGUUUCUGCAUACCUUGACACGCUCGAUUGGAUCUAACUUGUAUAACUCUCUGAGUAGCGUACGUCUUCGACCACUUCUACAAAUGGUAUAUUAUAAUAUAAGAAUUUGAAAAAUAAAUCAAUUAUAAGUCAACACGCAUGUAAAUUAAAUGUAAAAUUACUUUGAACUUCCGUAGGAUCCUCAGGUGUAAUCGGAACAUUCGAAGAUCCAAUUCCUGUCUGUUGUUCAGUACUAUUUGUUUCUGUCGAGUUUAGAUCAUUUUGAACAAUACUUUCCCUUAGAAAUUAGAGAUAUGUACCUUUUAAUCGAGAUUGAAUUUUCAUAUAUUGAAAUAUUAAAUCUUCGGUUAAAUUUGUUAUCAUUGUUAGAGAUUAGAGAUAUGUAAAUUGGAGGGCUAAAUUUAUUAUUAGAUCAAUAAAAAAGUCUCGUGUCAGCUUUUCAUCUCUCAUUUAACAACAAUUAAUCGCAUUUCGUGCUAAAAUAUUUAAUUUCAAAAAUUUUAGUGAUUAAAUAAAAGAAUUAAUAGUUGAAUGAUUAAAAUAGGACUAAUAGAUUAGUCACUAUUUUUAUACUUUACAAAAAAAUCUAACACACUGUAGCUUUUCCUAGGACACUUUUAUUCUGUCGGCAUUUUGAAAGCAAAGCUCCUUAGCAAAAACAAAAAUUAUGCAAUAACAUUUUGGACCAAAGACAUAUAAUAUAUUUGGAUACAAUUAAUUUAGACCAAUUAAUUUUUUACGUCUAGCACCAAAGACAUAUAAUAUAUUUGGAUACAAUUAUUUUCAAAUUUGAGUACUUUUAAGUAUUCAAAAGGAUGAAAACCCAAAUCUAAACAUUUUGGACCAAAAGAAAAAAUUUAGAUAGAAAUCAUUUUCCUCCUAAAUAUGUCAAUUGUGAGCUCAGGGCAUGGGCUGAUUUGAUUUAAAAACAUAAAUAGUUUUACCAAAUUUUACAACUUUUGGUAACAAAAACUUUAUUCACAAAACUCAACAUGAAACCAUUUCUCCUCUAUGAUUGUGAAGAGGAAAUAAAUAGGAAACUUUCUUUCCAUGAUAAAUUGAAAAUUCCAAUGAAUGAUCUCAUCGAAAAGGAAAUUAUGCAAUAACAUGAUUCAAAAGCAAAUUUGCAGGAGUAUAAAAUAUUUAAUGUAUUUGUAUCAAUUGAACAUAAAUUUAAUUUAAGGAAGAGAAUAAAAGUAAAAAAUAACAAUCAUGAAACUGAACAUAUAUAGAGAAGAAAUGUAAUAUAAUACCUGUUAGAGAAUUAUAAGAUAAAUAAAGAUAUUUCAACUGUGGUAGAUUACCAAAUUAUUGUGGAAUUACACCUACACAACAAAAAUAAUUUAUUAAACAAAUAUAUGUAUUUUAUUUUACUUUUUAAAAAUCAAAUUUAAAGGUGAAGGCUUAAUAGUCUAAAUUUUAUAAGCACCAAAUGGAUUUUGUAAUUUAGACCAAUUAAUUUUUUUAUGUCUAGCACCAAAGACAUAUAAUAUAUUUGGAUACAAGCUUCAUCAAAUAUGAGUACUUUUAACAGUAAAUAAUUUUGGAUUCAGUUCUAAAAAUACAAUUUCACAUCAAAUAUUGAAUAUACAUUUCUAAUUAUAGUUUUUCUUUACUAAAAUGCUUCUAAUUUUCAAAUAAUGAAAAAUAUUGUAAACAUAUUUCAACAAAACAGCAAACUUACCUAAAUACGAGUAGUAAGAAAUGCACCCAAAAUUCCAAAAAUAACGAAUUAAAAGCAGUACUAUAAAUAGGAGCAGUAAGAAAUGCACCAAAAAUUCCAAGCCAUUCAAAUGUUGAUAAAUGACCAAAUCAGCAAACUUACCUAAAUACGAGCAGUAACAAAUGGUUACUGUUGCUGUUUGAAGGGUUACUGUUGCUGCAAACUAACAACACCCAAUUACUUCUGCAUUGUUUGGGGACGGUCGCAAAAGAAGACAACAUCAAUGUUUUGUAUUACAACCAAGCAGACGAGGCAUAAAGUAAAAAAAAAAAAUUAAAUUUUUCCCACACUAAAAAUAUAACUUACCAGUGGUUGCGAGAGCAGAGGGCGACGGUGACGGUGAUGCAGUAGAUGAGACGGUGAUGGUGAUGAAGCAGACAACGGUCAUGGUCACGGCGAAGCUGGUCGGGUUUGGGGGGAUUAGGGGUUGAGGAAGCUAGGGAUUUCGGCUAAACAAUUGGGGGAAAGUACUGAAGAAGAAUCGGGGUUUGCCUGGUUAAAAGGGCUGGAAAGAAAACGACGUCGUUUCCACAGAUAAAUGAACCCACUAAUAGCGGCGUUUGUAAAUAAGCGCCACAAAAUAUCCACAGAAACGAAGUCGUUUCAGGAACAGACAGUCAAAUUUGUGGCGUUUUGGCAAAAAACGCCACUCACAACAUUGAAAAACGACGACGUUUUCAAUGACUAAACUAACAAAUUUACGGCGUUUCUAAAUAAGUGUCACUAAAGAAACCCGAAAACGAUGACGUUUCCCAAACAGUUAUGACAAAAUUAACCCAUUUGCGGUGUUUAUUCCAAAGCGCCACAAAAUAAAAUUACAAACGAUGUCGUUCCUCAGCCAGUUAGUCAAAUUUGUGGCGUUUAGGCAUAAGCGCCACUCAAUUAACAGUGACUAAACGACUAACUUUGCGGCGUUUACACAAAAGCGCCACUAAAUUAACCGUCCAAAUGAUGUCGUUUUCCAAAAAAGUAGGACAAGUUUCUGGGGUUUUGGCACAAAACGCCACUAAGAACAUCGAAAAACGACGACGUAUUCAUGACUAAAUGAACCUAUUUGCGGCGUUUAUAACCUUUCGCCACUAAGUAACCACCGAAACGACGUCGUUUGCAACGAAAUAAAAACGAAACGCAAUCGUUUCCCUGGUAAUUAGGAUAAUUUUGAGGCGUUUUUUCGUGAAACGCCACUAAGAACAUGGAAAUUUUUAAAAAAUUAAGUUAAUUAUAUCAAUAUUUUUUUAUAUUUUUAUAUUUUUAUAUUUAAUAAACAUAAAUAUUUAUGUAUAUAUGUCAUAUUAAAUAAAAAAUUGAUGUUAAUUUUAUCAAUAACAUGUGUUAACAUUUUACAAGCUCUGUAUCAAAUUAAACGAAUUCAUGUAAACAAUUGAACAUUUAAUCAUUAUUCAUGUACGCUUUUGGGAUUUAGCCCAUUUUGGUAUAUAUUUGAAUUUUUUAAAUUGAUAAUUUAUAUAUAUCUUUUUAAUAUUCAGAAAAUAUAAAAAACUUAAAUUAAACCCUAAACCCUAAAUUAACCAUAAUUAAUCCUAAACCAUAUUUUUAGGAAUUCGUGUUGCUAAUGGUAGUGUGUAGUACAAAACAUAUAUUUUAACCUUAAAUUAUAAACUACAAACCGUUAACCACAAGCAUCAAGCCCUAAAACACUAAUUAACCUCUUAACAUGACUAAAGCGGUCUAAACCCCAAACUGUAAACUAUAAACUUCUAAACCCUAAACCCAAAAUACUAAAACGUACAUCAUAAACUCUAAACUCAAAACUCUAAUAUUCAAAAAAUAAUAAACAUUAUAUAAUGAUUAAACAUAAAACCCUAAACUAUAUACAAUAUUAAACUUUUUAACUUAUAAUAAUCAUUGAACCUUAAUCACCAAACUCUCAAACCCUAAACAAAAAACACUAAACCUAUAUUGUAAACCCUAAACCCUAAACUGUAAUUCAAAAAUAAUAAACAUUAUAUAAUAUCCUAUUUAUUCCUACAUUAUAUAAUAACAUAAAUUAUAUAAUAAACUACAUAUAUAAUAAUCUAGCGGCGCGUAAUAAUAUGUUUUAGCGGCGUUUUACCAUAAGCGCCACAACUGCUAGUAUACAUCAAGACCAAAGCGCUGCGUUUUGGUUAAUAUUUUGCGGCGCUUUACAAUAAGCGCCGCUAAUACUAUGCUUUAGCGGCGUUUUCAAAUAAGCUCCACUAAUCCUAAUGUACCUCAAGACCAAACUCUGCGUUUUGGUUAAGAAAUAUUGCGGCGCUUUUCAGUUCUCGCCGCUAAUACUAUACUUUAGCGGCGUUUUAAUAUAAGCGUCACUAAUGCUACUAUACAUCAAGACCAAAGCGCUGCGUUUUGGUUAAUCUUUUGCGGCGUUUUUCAAUAAGCGCCACUAAGCCUAAUAUACCGCAAGACCAAACUCUGCGUUUUGGUUAAGAAAUCUUGCGGCGCUUUUCACUACUCGCCGCUAAUACUAUAAUUUAGUGGCGUUUUAAUAUAAGCGCCACUACUGCUAGUAUACAUCAAGACCAAAGCGCUGCGUUUUGGUUAAUAUUUUGCGGCGCUUUACAAUAAGCGCCGCUAAUACUAUGCUUUAGCGGCAUUUUCCGAUAAGCGCCACUAAUCCUAAUAUACCUUAAGACCAAACUCUGCGUUUUGGUUAAGAAAUAUUGCGACGCUUUUCACUACUCACCGCUAAUAUUAUUCUUUAGCGGCGUUUUUGUAUAAGCGCCACUAAUGCUAGUGUACCUCAAGACCAAACUCUGCGUUUUGGUUAAGAUGUAUUGCGGCGCUUUUAAAUAAGCGCCACUAAUACUUUCUUUAGCGGCGUUUCCACAUAAUCGCCACGAAUUAUAUAGUACACAUCUAGUCCAAAAUGCUGCGUUUUGGUUAAGAGCUUUUGCGACGCUUGGAAGUAAACGCCGCUAAAGAUGUUCUUUUACAGCGUUUAUUCAGAAAACGCCACUGUAUGUCCGACUUUUACCGGCGUUUUAGUAGAAUCGCCGCUAAUGCUACAUCUUCAGCGGCAUUUUAUGGUUUGCGCCGCUAAUGCUCAAUUUUUAGGGGCGUUUGUAAUCCAAACGCCACAAAAUGUGCAGCUAAAAGUCUGUUUUGGUGUAGUGUUAUUUUGUUCUUUUUAUUCACAAUAUAAUGUUAUAUGUAGAUAAAUAUUUUGUUAUUGACACAUCCGAUAUUUUUAGCUUUUUCACUUGAAUUUUUGGAGAGGAAACAUGCGAACUAAUUAUAAAUAGCACUUAUCAAUCUUCGGCAUUCUUCUGCAAGACACACAAUUGAAAGAACAAACGAUUUAUUAAAGAGGAGAUUAUGACUAUUACACUCUGCUUGUUUCUACAAUAUGAAAACAAAAAUGAAAAAUUUUAAUGCAUGUUGCAUAUUAUACAAAAAAAAAUUUGCGAGAUGAAGCGUAGAAGACUUGUUAAAAGAUGUUGAUAAAGAGUUAAAAGUGAUCUAACACUUGGAGAUGUUUGAAGAAUAUCAUAGGCGAGGUUAUUAGUCUUAAUGCAUAUAUAAAUCCUAAACAAAUGUUUGCUCCUUUUGUUUUUCAAAACACUAUAAGCUAUACAUUUCUUAAUUAUUAAAGAUGAAAUUAUAUUAUAUAGGUCAAAUAUUUGUUUUUCUUAUGUUUUAGAAAUUUUAUAAUUAUUAUUAAUUUUUUAAAAAAUUUUGACGCUGACUUAAAUCCAAAUAUUAAUUUAGUGAAGUGAUUUAGAGUUUGAAUUGAGAUUAAUUUGAUAUUGCUAUAGUUAAUGAUGAUAUCGGUUCGAUUCAGGUUUUUGAAUUUUUUAAACCAUCUAUCAUAAUUUAGUUUGGCUCGAUUUGGUUCUUGAUUUUUUUCAUAUUAAUAUUUGAUUUUGGAUUUUUAGACUUAUUUUUGACAAAAAUGAGUUUUUAUGUAUGGUUUUUGAAUAUUAUUUUACAAAAAUUUAAAGCCUUUCUAGAAAUAUUUCUAAAAACCAAUAAUUUUCAAGAACUUUUAAAUUAUUUUCACUAAUUUAAAUGUAAAUUAUUUAUUUUUAUAUCAUAAAAUAAUUUAAAUUAAUUAUAUAAAAAUAAAAAUAAAUUUAAUUCGGUUUCAAUUAAUUGCAAUUUUUAGUCUUGCAUUCCAAAACCGUCCAAACAUCACGGUUCGGGUCAAUUUUCUGUUUUUCUUGCUAAGCCCUAGUUGUAGUACUAUUUUUCACUUAUAAUUUAUAAGCAAUUUAUUUUUUAAAAAAUUAUUGUUAAAGCUCAAAGCUAAUUGAAAUUGAAUUUUAAGAUGAAUUUAAAUUAAUUCAAAAUUUUAAAUUUAACCUAAACCAAAAUUUGGGAAUCAAGAAUUUAAAAAUUAAUAUUUUCAAAGGCUCAAGAAUAAGUUAAGAGCCAUUAAUCCCCGUAUUUUGUUUCUUAUGGAGACAAAAUUAAGCUAAAAAAAUGGAGUUGGUAAGGUUGAAGUGUGGGUUUGAGAAUGGAAUUGACGUUGGGGCAAUAGGCACAAGAGGUGGUUUAUCGUUGGGCUGGAAAGGGAAUACAUUAGUUCAGCUUAAAAGUUUUUCCUCGUUUCAUAUUGAUGUUGAAGUUCAUGAUAAUGAAUGUGGCGAUAUCUGGAGGUUAACGGGGUUCUAUGGGAAUCUGGAUGAAAGAAGUAGAAGAGCUUCGUGGGACCUGCUUCGACAGUUAAAUCAUGAUCAAUCUACCCCUUGGGUUAUUUUGGGUGACUUUAAUGAGAUUGCGAAUUCUUUUGAGAAGAAAGGUGGUCGCCUCCGAUUAGAUCGACAGAUGAGGGAAUUUCGUGAGGCAUUAGAUGAUUGCAGUCUUAAUGAUUUAGGCUUUAUUGGCCGGUGGUUCACAUGGGAACGAGGACAAUUUGUUUCUACAAAUAUAAGGGAACGGCUGGAUCGUGGAGUUGCUACUUUGAGUUGGGUGAAUCUGUUUCCUGGAUGUCGACUUGAACAUUUGGGUCAUUCUUUUUCCGACCAUUGCCCCCUUCUCCUAGAUUCUGGGGGGUGGUAUGGAAUAAUCAAGACAGUUUUGUGAAGCCUUUUAGGUUUGAGGCCAAAUGGUGUUUAGAUAGUUCUUUUGAGGGGAUGGUUAAAAGGUGGUGGGAUGAUAAUUCUGGAAGUGUUUUGAGCAAGUUGGAGGAACUGAGACAUCAUAUGCUCAGUUGGAGUAAGUCUACUCGUAGGAAGGAGAAGAGAAAUAGGAUUGAAUUAGAAGACAAAUUGACUAAUCUUUAUAAUCAAGAUCUUUCUGAUGAGAUUUUAGCUGAGAUUACGGAGGUCCAAUUAGGACUUAAUUUGGAAGGUGAUAAGGAAGAGUUAUUUUGGGAGCAACGUUCACGUGUGAAUUGGUUGAAGAAUGGUGAUCAAAAUACCAGCUAUUUUUAUGAGGUUGUUGUGCAAUGCCAUUUUCGUGGUAGAAUUACUGAGCUGCAAGAUGAAAAUGGGGGAUGGGUUAAUUUGACUGAAGAAUUUUUACAGAUUGCUUCUAAUUAUUUUGGUAACUUUUUUUCUACUUUAGAUAUCGGUUCAGAUGAGCAUUUAUUUGGUUUAGUUGAGAAAAACGUUACUGACAGCAUGAAUGAUAGGUUAUUAAAGAAGUUCACUGAGAAGGAGAUUGCCUAUGUUGUUAAACUGAUGGCACCUUUGAAAGUCCCCGGUGUUGAUGGGUUUCCUACAAUCUUUUUUCAAAGGUACUGGCAUAUUAUUGGGCCGGAAGUCUCUCAAUUCUGUUUAUCUAUUCUGAAUAGACAAUCUGAGCUAGGAGAUAUCAAUAAAACGCGCAUUAUUUUGAUUCUUAAAAUUGAUAAGCCAAAAAAUAUGUCGCAUUUCAGACCCAUAAGCCUUUGUAAUGCUAUUUACAAAAUUAUUGCAAAAGUCUUGGUGAUUUGUAUAAGUGAUAUGUUGGGGAAUUGCAUUGAUGAAGCUCAAGGGGCUUUUAUCCCAGGAAGACUUAUUUCGGACAAUGUGCUAAUUGCUUAUGAGGUCCUUCAUUCUUUAAAAAUGAAGAAGAGCGGGAAGAAAGGUAAUUUUGCGCUUAAACUCGAUAUGAGUAGAGCGUAUAAUCGUGUUGAAUGGGAUUUUUUUGCGGGGAUUAUGAAUCAUUUGGGUUUUCAUAUGGAUUGGAUUGUUCUCAUCAUGCGAUGCGUUUUCUCUGUUUCAUACUCAGUUAGUCUUAAUGGAUAUCAUAGCGAAUGGUUCUCUCCUUCAAGAGGGUUAUGACAAGGAGAUCUUCUUAGCCCCUAUCUGUUUUUAAUUUGUGUUGAAGGUUUUUCUACGCUUAUUUAGGAUGCUAAAAAUAAAGGACGGAUGGUGGGAGCACCUGUUGGUAGGGAGAAAUUUGCUGUUAAUUAUCUAUUUUUUGCAGAUGAUUGUAUCCUAUUUGGAGAUGCCUCGUGUGAGGGAGCUGGGGUGGUUCGUGAUGUAAUCCGUGAGUAUGAGAUGGUUUCGGGGUAACGUGUGAAUUUUGAUAAGUCCCUUAUUUAUUUCAGAGCAAAUGUAGCUUCUAGUGUUAAGGAGGAUAUUGUCAAUCUGUUAGGGGUUCGUUUGGGAUCUAACCCCGAAAAGUACUUAGGCUUGCCUAUGAUGGUGGGGAGGAAUAAAAAGUGGGCUUUUGCUAAUUUUGUGGACCGAUUCAGAAAACGGGUUGAGGGGUAGAGUUUGUGCUAUCUGUCAAUGGGGGUAAGGAGGUCUUUAUUAAAUCAGUUUUGCAGGUGACCUCAAUUUAUGCUAUGCAAUGCUUCUUUCUGCCAAAAACGUUAUGUCGAAAGCUUGAAGGCAUUAUGAACAGGUUUUGGUGGACGAAUAAUAAAUCCUCGAAGGGUAUUCAUUGGAGCACUUGGGAAACGUUAUGUAAUCCAAAAUGCCUUAGAGGGAUGGGCUUUAAAAACUUGUUUUUGUUUAAUAAUGCCUUAUUAGCAAAACAAGUUUGGCGCAUUUUAUCCCGGCCUCAUUGUUUUUUGGCUAAGGUUUUAAAAGUCCGUUAUUUCCCUUAUUUAGAUAUUCUAUUAGCAGUGUUCGGGAGUUGAUUGGAGAAGGGAUUUUGUGGCGGUUGGGAAUGGUGCUCGCAUUAAUAUAUGGAAUGAUCCCUGGUUACCUGGAAGGGAGAACAAUAGAAUUUCAGUUCAGGACAUUCGGCCUAAUUAGACAACAGUUAAUCAAUUAGUUAUGAAUGAGGGUUGUACCUGGAACAGAGAGUUAGUUCAUAAUUUAGUUGAUGAUAAUACAACAACUAGAAUCUUCUCCAUUCCUAUUUCUGGAAGUAGGCCGGAGGACAUGUUGGUCUGGAAGUAUGAAGGCUUAAGGGAUUACACUAUUAAGAGCAGGUAUCGGGUCCUUAUUACAGAACUUUUACAAAGCAAAUCUAAUAUGUCCUCUAAUGAUGAGGAUUAGAAAGGUUUCUACACAGAUUUGUGGUCAUUAAAUAUUCCUGAGAAGAUUAAAAUACACGUUUGGAGGAUGUUUAAUAAUUUGGUGCCUCACUAUUUAAAUCUAGCGCGUAGAACUUUGUGUGAGGAUGCGGUGUGCCCACUGUGUAAGGAAGAACUGGAGAAUUCUGAGCAUCAGUUGUUGUCUUGUGGUGUUCAACAGGAUGUGUGGGCUUCGUUGCAAGUUCAAACUCCUCAUUUUGAAGAUUCGCUGGAUCACAAGAUUCGCUUUGUUAGAACAUUUUUUGAAGCAGACGGCCGACAAAAAUGACUCAUUGCUAUCUCUUUAUAGGGUCUUUGGUUUCAUAGAAAUAAAUUGGUGCAUGAAGGAGUAAAAUUUUCGAGGCAAAAAUUAUUGGGGUUCAUUCGAGGUUAUGAACAAGAUCUUUGUUUAUUUCAUGAGAACCUCUGUCCUAUUACUGGUUCUUUGGUUAAGGAGAUUUGGAGGCCUCCUGACUUUGGAAUCAUUAAGCUUAAUUUUGAUGCGUCUUUCAUUCAAGAAAAUAAACUUGCUACAACAGCGGUUUUAGCUAAAGAUUACAAAGGAGAAGUUGUUGGGGCAGAAACUUAUCUAUUUGAAGAUGUUGUUGACGCAUUUAUGGCAGAGGCACGAGCUUGUGAAAGGGCUUUAAUCUUCGCGAGUAUGAUGUGUUUUAGACGGCUGGCUGUGGAAGGUGAUUCUCUGUCUGUCAUAAAAAAUAUUAGAAAAAAGGAGGCAGAUAAAUCGGUUCUUAGGCCGAUUACUCAUCAUAUUCAUAAGUUGGAUAUGCUUUUUGAUGAGGUUACUUACAAUUUCGUGCCCCGUGCGGUUAAUGAUGCGGCUCAUGUUCUGGCGUUGGAAGGUCGGAGAAGAAGAGUAUGUGGGAGCUGGGUUAAUGGCGUACCUGAUUCGAUGCAGAUUGUGGUGAUGAAGGACCGUUUGGCUUGGAAUCAGAGGGUCUAGGGUUCAUGCAGUUUUGCUUUGAAUUUGGAAAAGGUUCAUUGAAUCUCCAGUUUGUAUUCAAAGCCUUGCUUUCUCCUUUGGCUAGUCUUCGUUGCAGAUAUUGUGGAGAGCUUUUCUGGCUGAUUGUGGGUUAUGAAGAGACGCGGUUGCUGGCUCAUGUGUUUUAUUUUUUUUUCUCUGUUUAUUUGGUCGAUGUUCUCUAGGAUUUUUAUUGCUUUAGGCUGGACAACUGUUUUGUUGCUUUCGUUUUGUCGUUUCUUUUUGGGUGUUGUGUUUGGAGGCUUCUCAGCUUCUUUUUUUCCUUAAGCCGUGGGUCAAUAAAAAUCAGCCUAUUUUUAUAAAAAAAAUCAAUAUUUUCAAAUCUAAGAUUUUGAAAUAUAAAUCCAAAUCCAAAUGUAAGUUUUCCGAAAAGAGUUGUUUAAUAACUUGAUAUUUGGAUUAAAUAAACAAUUGAAAUAUUUUUAUUGAUAUAUAAUCAAAUACACCCCUUAAAAACCAUUUGAAAUGCGAAAUCUUUAUUUGAUAAAAAAAUUAAUUUAUUGAAAAGUAAUAUUUUUAAUAGUUUAAAACAUAUGUUUGAUAACAUAUAUAAAAAACUUUUUGAAAAAGAUAAAUAAAUAAACAAUGACUUAUUACUUAAUGAAUUGCUUUAGUACACAAUAAUUUAAAUUAAUUAUUUUUAUUAUUAGUUUGAAUAUUGUUAAAAAUAUUUAAUUUUUCGUUUUAUGAUAUUUUUAUAUUUAACUUUCACUUUUACCACAUAUUUUUUAUAUUCAAAUUAAAAUUAAAAAAUUAAUAUAGUAUCACAUUUAUUGAGAAAUGAGAUGCAAAGAGAGUUCAAUACUUAGAAGGUUGACUAUAAGUUGAAAAACUACAAUGGUAGCGCACAGACAACAUGAAAUGCAAUGCCUAUAAAUUUAUUACUACAAAAAUUUGCAAUUAAGUCUACCAAGAAGAAAUUUGCAAACUUAAUCCAUACUAGCAAGGAAGCAGAUGAACAAGUACGGAAAGGAAGGUAACAAGAAACUAGUAAAGUUGAAGGAUUCAUGAUAAUGCGUAUGUGAAGAGUGGGAAAUUCGAAGGCUUUGGAAACGAGGAGACAUGCUUUAAAUUAUGACUCUACGUACAGGAUGGAUGAAUAAAAUGCUCCACUGUUUCCCAACCAUUUGGAUCUUCUUCAAAGAGACCUUUCAGUCUGGUGGCUGCCAAACUAGAUGGUGGCAUGCAGUGGACCUGGGUGGUCCACACCGCAUGCUACUUCUGCUUUACCAAAUCUCCUGGGUAUAGGAGGAAUUUAAUUAUUUGUCAAGUCCUCAUUGUAAUGAAAAGGGAAGGAUCCAAACAAAAAUAUUUAUAGGUGUCACAUAUAUGUGAGUUGUAACAGUUCAUUUUUCAGUGGUGUCAGAAAUAGUGAUUUCGGGGCCAUCAAAUCUGAUGAGUAAGUUCGUAAAUAUUAUAUUUAAUAUUUACGAGUUAAUUUUGAUUUUGAAAAUGUUUUUGAUAUAGUGAUUUUUGUUUUAUAAGCUAUUUAUUAAAUUCAAGUGAUUUUAGAAAAUGAGGUAUCGGGACCUUGUUUCUAAAAAUCGAGCCGUAAAUAUUUACGGAGUGUCAUUAAGGUGGUAUUAAAGUUUCGUUGAAAAAUUUUAACGUUUCAAUAGUUAAUUAAUUAAAAAAGAUUAAAUCGCGUAAAGUGCAAAUGCUGAGUUCUAAUAGCUAAAUGUAUUAAAUAGUUGUAGAACUUUAAAGUAGAGGUCCUCAUAUGAUAAAUAGCCCAUUAAUAUGUUAGUGGAUGAUAAUGGCUUGAUAUUUUGUGUAAUUAUUAAAGAUUAUAAAGGUUAUAUUAGUAAAAAGGAUAAUUAAAGGUAUAUUAAAUAAAACAAAAUUCUAGCAUCUUCCAUUAUUAUUUUUCUUUUCAACCGAAUGUUAAAAAAACAAGAAGCCAUUGUUGAAGCUUCAUUCAGUUAAUCUUAUUCCUUCAAAUUAGGUAUACAUUUUUGUCUCGUUUUUUUUAUGAUUUUUACGUUUUCGGGAUCGUUGUAGAUUAAUUCAGUUAGCCUGUACAUUUGAUUUUAAAACUGUUAAAGAUUUUAAAUGUUGACAUUGAUGAAUCUUAUGAUUCUUUUUUAUGUUAAAUGAUGAAUUUGAGAUAUUAAUUGUUAUUUAAAAGUAUUUUAUUAAGUGAUUUUUGAUGAAUUUUUUGAUUAGGGGUUAAAUUGUUGAAAUAAUAAAAAUACAAGGGUUUGUUGUGAAAUUAUUGCAAAUUAGGCUGUAUUGAAUGCCAUGAAUAUUCAACUAGCAUGAGUUUGCAUUAAAAAUGGUUAAUUUGCAUGUUUUGGGCUCAGAGACUAAAUUGAAUAAAAGUAAAAUUUUAGGGGUAAUUUUGUAAAAAUAUAAAAAUACUAAAUUUUAUAAAAUAAAUUAUUUUAUUGUUUAAAUUAAUAAAUUGAAUGAAAUUAUUAAUUUAGAUCAAGAUUGGGUGGAAAAUCGAGGAAAAUAUAAAAUUAUCAAAAUGCUCCUGAAUCUUGGUAUUUUUGCAAUUUAGCCAGGUAAGUUUAUACGGUUAAAUUUAACAUUUGUAUUAAUUGGUGAUUGGUAUUAUAUAUAUUCUACUGUUGGAAAUGAAUUAUUGUUUGAAUUAUAGUAUUGAAUUGGAUAUUCGGUUUGAAUUGAACGCGAGAUUUAAAUACAUUUGUAUUUUGGUGUAUGACGGGGGUUUGGAGUGGAGAUUUAGAGGGAGAUAUCGGUAUAUUACCCAAGUAAACCGGGGUUCAACAUUUGUUGCGAACUCUCGUGUUUUACUUUCUGUUUGGAGUGAUUUUUGUGGAUUAGCUCUUACAAGCUUCUGUUCAGCUUUCACGAGCUUCUGUUGGCGUGUUCUGGUGGAUUAGCUCUAUGAACUUCUGUUGAUGAUGUACUCUUAUCCGUAAGUCGUUCUUUGAAUCGAAAAUCUCGAUAAGGUAAUCUGUUUAAUGAAUUUUUAAAGAUUUAUUAUUUGUUGAAUAUUGAUCUGAACAUAAAUGAAUUCAAUAGUUGAGAUUAUGGAUGAUGCAUAGGUUUAUGCUAAGCUUAUAGUUACAUUAUCUCAUGUUUAAUAUUAAUGAUAUACAAUGAAAUGAUAAAUGAAAAAAAUGGGAAUAUGCUUAUAUUCAUGAAAAGCUGGUAUGAAUCAAAAGGUGAAUUUUUUAUAAAAUGGUUUAUCAUGCGAUUGACUCCAAAUGAGUUGUAUACUUAAAUGCACUAACUUGUGUAUCGAUGAUGGUGAUUAGGCUUAUGUCAAGCUUGAGAUCAUGAUUGAUGUUUAUGCUUAUAUCUGGUAUUAUAUAAAUGAAACGACUAAGAAAAAGUAAUGAAACGGUAAGUUCAUUAUUGAAAUGUGAUAUGACGAAAAAGGGAUUGAUGAAUUGAGUGAUGUACUUAUAUAUGAGAAAUUACGUAUGUUAUGAAUGAACUUACCUAUGAUGUGAAUAAAUAUACUAAUCAGUGAGUUGAUGUUGUUAUUUAAGUUUAUGCUUACUAAGUGGAAUGGAAAGUAAGUAAAGGAAGUAAUUCAUAGUUCUUUGAAAAGGUUAAUGAUAGUAUAUAAUGUUUAUAAAAUCCUAUUAAGUUAGGAAUGAAAAAUAUAUAUUUAUGAUGUUGAUAGACUUACUCAUUUAUAAGUUGAUGGUUAUGUAGUUGACAAAUCUUGAGGCAUUGGUAUAGGUUUAUAUUUAAUCUAUAAAGUUCAUUGAUGAAAUGAAAUGUUAUGUUUAAAGUUUAUACAAGCUUACUAAGCAUUCAUUGCUUACACAUUUAUUUUUCCUUUACUUUUCAGAUUAUCGGAAGCUCGAUCGGGUUGGAAACUUGUCGGAGCUAUAUCACACUAUCCAUCAGUUUUAUCGGUACUUUUGGAUGUUUUGAUUUUGGUUAUAAUGGCAUGUAUAGGUAUUUUGUUUGAUGUUGGCUAUAUGUAAUUUGUUGAGAUUAGUCACUUAUUUUGGCUUGUUUUGGAUGCCUAAUUAUGACUUGUUGAUAUGCAUAAUGUUGAUUGUAGGUUGACACCAAAUUGGGUGAGAAAUAUGACUUGUAAAUUGACCUAUUUUAGUCCACACGGGCAGAGACACGGGCGUGUGUUUCAGCCAUGUGUGACACAUGGCCAGGUGACACGGUUGUGUGUCCCCUAUUUCUUUUAAAGAGUGUAAGUCAGUAUAUUCACACGGCUUGACCACCGGCCAUGUGACCCCUGCAGUGUUGAAAAUGUUAAAUGUUUUCAAAAAAUUUUCUGGGUUUUCGAUUUAGUCCCGAUUUGUUUCUAAUGCAUAACUUGGGCCUCGAUGGCUCGUAUAAGGGACAAUAUGUAUGAUUUUAAUUGGUUUUUGACAUGAAUGCUAUAUGAUAUGAAACGUUUGUAUUUUCUGUUUGUUUGAUUUGUAAACUCCGGUAAUGCUCCAUAACCCUGUUCCGGCGACGGAUGUGGGUUAGGGUGUUACAUGAGUUGCAUGAUGAGGGGAAAAGCAUGGCUCUUCGUGAAUCUCAAAGGAUGUACAUUGAUAGCCACCGAUAUUUACCGGAUCACAUAAAGAUUAGAUUGAUUGUACAUACUCAAAUGAUAAUGCAAAAUGUUGAACGAUCAACAACAGCCAUAUAUAUGAUUUUGGAACUUACAGUGACAUGCAUCUUGUUAGCUUGAACUUAUAAUGUAAGACAAAAAGGGAAGAAAAAAAAAAGGGAUUUAGGGCCACAUCCAACACAGCACACAACACUCGAGACAGCUUUACUGCAUCUGCAUGUUCAAUUCUCAGUUCGUAGCAGCUGAAAACUCGGGGUUGGAAUGACAGAGCAAGUUUAAGAUGAUUAAGUAUUUUAAUUAGGCUAAUUAUGUAUUUGGUAAAUUUUGAAAUAAUAAAUAAAUCCCAAAAAAGAAAACUGUGUGAUGAACCUGAACAGUGGGCUUGGGCCAAACUAUGUGAUAACAUAUUGGCUUGUCUCUUUGCAUGGACAAACUGACACUGGCUAGCUAGAAGAAGAGAUGGAAACAAGCGUAGCUAUCAUGACUUACCCCACAGCGAGGGCUCAAUUCUAAUAAUCUCAACACUGGCUAGAAAUGAAUCACUCUCAAGUCCCAAGUACAGCAUAUGGAGAGGGUUACUCAUACGUGGAAAUACAUACUUCAUAGGACAACCAAUAUGCUCAUCUAGUAGCUGUUAUUUAGAGAAAUUUUUAAUCUGGUUUUUUAAAUAUAGUGCUGUGGUUAAAAUAUGAAAUUAAUUAAGUAAUCAAAUUGCUUGAUUUUUCUUUUUAAUUUAGAUGUUUAGAUAUUCUUUGAAUUUAAAUUGGGAUUAUUAUAGUUAACUAAGCCAUUGGUAUAAUGAUAAACAACAUGGAUAAUUCAAUUGAAUUACAAGAUUUGGCAAGGAAAAGUUUGCAGAGAAAGUGUAAAAUUACAUGCUUUCAUGAUGCAAAAUGUAUAGUUACAGAAUUUCAGGAUGAAUACGACCAAAAGAAAAACUUUCAGGAUAUAUUCAUAAUAAAUAAUAAAUGAAUCCAGCAUUUGUAUAUAUAUAGGUGAAAUGAGAAUGGAACUGUGAUAUUUGCUAAAGUGUGUUGGUGCCCAAUUGAAUGAAUCCAUGUUGCAAGACAAUAGGCAGGGAGGCAUGUUAUUGCUGAAAAGAAAAAGGGCCGGGGGAGGGGGUGGAAGGAAUCAUCGAUACGAAAGAAUAUACUAAAGUGAUUUGUAAAGCAACUUUUUGGGCAGUGGUUUUAUUAAACGUAAAAGUAGGGGGCCCCGCAUCAGUGAGUGAGUGAGUCACCUCACCUGAAACCUAAAUCAACCUCGUGGGGACCAGCUAGGCAGGGCAAUCAUCGUUGAGUGCUGCUAAUCGAGAGACGAGAGACCUAAGAAAAUAAACUGCUCGGUAUGACCGUAGAGAGCGCCACGUGGGAGGGUGUGGUUGGCAUCACAUGCGGUAAAACUGUUGGCUCCACACUUAUUUAACAGAAAUAUUGGUACUUGUUUCCCAAACCUUCAAUUAUGGUUUAUGAGAUGAGUGUUGUGCUCCGUUGCUGACCCUCUCUCUCUCGUACAGUAACAUUUCUUUCCCUCAUAUCAUCAUAUUUUAUAUAAACAUAGUAAUUUUCCUUCAGUUUGGUGAUGCAACUUAGCUAUGACGGACACCACGGACGAUAUAGCGGAGGAAAUCUCUUUCCAGAGCUUCGAGGACGACUUCAAGUUGCUAGGAAAUCUUCUCAACGAUGUGUUGCAGAGAGAAGUUGGCGCCCAAUUCAUGGCCAAGAUCGAGAGGAUUCGACUCCUCGCUCUGGUCACUCUCUUCUCCUUUCAUUAUUUACUGUUUUCUUUUUUGCUUUUUUGUAAAGUAGACACACGGUGACAACCUUCAAAAUGGAGGAAAAUCAAAAUACUGUUACUGUCUUUAUUUGUAUGGCUUGCUUGCUUUUUAUUUAUAUUUCCUUGUACUAUUCUUUGAAUUCUCAUUUCCACUCUGCUUUCUUAUUUACUAUUUUCUGCUUCUCCCCUUCUGAUGCCUCUCUUUGGUUUCUUAAAAUGCGGAGGAAAAAUAGACUUUUUGAUUCUGUUUGGUUGCUAAGAAUUAUAUUAGAUGGAGAAGUGGAAAAUGAAGCGAAAUUCCAAAUCGUCUUUUGUACUUUUACGAUGCUAUUUAAAUUCCACAUGUUCUGUUGUAUUUUUAUGAUACUUUUUCUUUAUUUUGUUUUUGAAAAACAAAUUAUUACCGAACAAAGGCUAGAUUCUCUUAUCUUUGUGUGUAUUUGCAAGUGCAUGCUAGAAUUCGGCUUUACUCAAUCUUGCCUACAUUUUCUCACAAAGCAAACAGAGAAGAGUUUCUUUUGAGAAUGAUUUUUCCCUUUUUUUUUUAAAAAUGUUGUAGAGUGCUUCCAAUAUGCGAUUGUCCGGGAUAGAGAAUAUGGCAGCGUUGCUGGAGAAGCAGCUAGCAUCUGAGAUUUCCGAGAUGACAUUAGAGGAAGCUUUGAAAUUGGCUCGUGCUUUCAGCCAUUAUCUCACUUUGAUGGGAAUUGCUGAGACCUAUCACAGGUAGUGGGAUUUAGUUUAUCAGCUGUUCAAUUUCAUGAGGUCAAUUUUCACUUUUCAAUUUAUAGGGAAUAACGCAUGUACAGUUAUAGAUCCUACGUUGCAAUUAGAUUUUUUUUGAAAGAACAAUUAGAUUAUCUUAAAAUUUCCUAUCAAGUGUUUUUUUCCAGUGAUUCCGAGUGCUGCAAUUUUUUUUUGCUAGUUUAUGUUUCUAUUAUCUCUACCUACUUAAUAAAAAAUGAAGGGUUUGUUGUCAGUUUUCAAUUUUCAUGGCUUUAUCUUAACAGAAAAACAUUUUGGAAUUACUGUUGUUUUGGUUAUUGAUUAGGUAUUGCCUUUCUCAUUUUUUUUUUUUGUGAAUGGUGGGUAAACUAUACAGGAAAUAUGCCAUGCUAACGUUUGAGUGUCUACUUUCGAGAGCAUUCAUUACAUUUUGGAUUUCCUAAUAAAAAUUAAGAAAAUGCAGAAAAAUCCGGAGUCAUACAAUAAGUCUCCUGCUAAAUAUUAUUAUUAUUACUAUCUUCUGUUGUUCUUUGUGCAAAACAAUUUUACGAUUUGCUUUUAUUUAAUCAAGAACUCAACAAAUUCAAGUAAUUAUUUUGUGCAGGGUUCGUAAGGGGCGAAGUGUUACACAUUUAUCAAAGUCUUGUGAUGACAUUUUCAGUCAGUUGAUUCAGGGUGGCGUUACCCCGAAUGACCUUUAUGACACUGUUUGCAAGCAGGUAUAUUUCUUAUAUUGCUUUUAGAUUUAGUUUUCUUCAGUGCCUUGUUCAGUAAAAGAAUAUCAAGUAUUAGAAACUCCAACUUCUCAUUGUGUUUCUGAAAAGUACUCUGAAACUGUCGUCAGAGAAGCCAAACAAAUGUGAGCUUCUAGUGCAGUCUCAGCUAAUGGAGAGGAACAUAAUUGCAACAUUUAUUUUAGUCAUGCCAACAUUUUGUUCAAUUCUUUAUUUUGUGAUCAAAUUAAAUGUAAAAUCCUUUUUUCUGCAGGAGGUUGAGAUUGUUCUUACUGCUCAUCCCACACAAAUUAACCGCCGUACCUUACAAUACAAGCAUAUAAGAAUUGCUGUAAGUUAAGGGUUGUGCUGACAAUUAUUAACUUGAGUCUUGAGGCUAUUUUCUGAAAGUCAACCCGUUUUUCCUUGCAGCAUCUGUUAGAAUACAAUGACCGACCUGAUCUUGGUCAUGAAGAUCGAGAAAUGCUAAUUGAAGAUCUGGUAUUGUUCCCCAAUGCAAUGUUUCCUGACCACUCCUGGAAAAUAAAGGGAAAAAGGGGGUGGGGGGCAUGGUUUGUCUACUAUUGUGAUCAUGGGAAAAAAUGUCUUCCGUUUCUUGGUUUUAUAAGAGUUCCUUUUGACUUUGUAGGUGAGAGAGAUAACAUCGAUAUGGCAGACAGAUGAACUUAGACGCCACAAACCUACUCCUGUGGACGAGGCCAGGGCUGGUAUAUCACUUUAGAGUUUAGACAUAUUAGAAAUUGCAUGCAUUUUAUCUUAUAAAUGCUUCUGUAUGACUAUUAUUAUUUUUUAUUAGGUCUGAACAUAGUGGAGCAAUCCCUUUGGAAAGCCGUACCUCAUUAUUUACGUCGUGUUAGCACUGCCCUUAAGAAAGUGGGAUAUCAACUUCUAUUUUGAAACUACUAGGCUCUUUGAAUGGAUACACAAUAUUUAUAGGCUCGCUCAGUCUUUUUUUUCUUUAAUUUGCCAUUCCUUUUCAGCAUACAGGAAAGCCGCUUCCACUAACAUGUACCCCCAUAAAGUUUGGCUCCUGGAUGGGGGGUGAUAGAGAUGGAAAUCCUAAUGUCACAGCAAAGGUGAGGCUCCUUGCAUCCCUCUACUUUCUGCUCUUUGAUGACUGCUUUUAAACUGGAAUACCCUGAAAAUUGAACGACUGGUUCAUUUUGGAAAUGUGGUUUUGGAAUUUCUAGAUUGAUUCUUAGUAUUUUUCUUGAGACUCCUUGUCCCUUUUUCCACAUGUCUAUGUUACAACUAGUAAUAACUAGCAUUCUGUGCUAGUCCCUAUCGUAUAAUUUCAUGCAAAAAUGGCAUUUUUCCUACAGUUUUACCAAGUGCCUAAUGCCUUCAUUGUUUUUCUUCUCCUUGUUUCAGGUAACAAGGGAUGUCUCACUUUUAUCUAGGUGGAUGGCCAUUGAUCUUUACAUCCGGGAAAUUGAUAGCCUUAGAUUUGAACUAUCCAUGAACCGAUGCAAUGAUAGGCUAUCCAGAUUGGCUCAGGAAAUUCUAGAGAAAGGUUGGGGCUGCUUGAUAUGUUUAUGCUCUUUUCAAUCUUAAACACCUAUCCUAGAAAUUUUUAUUAGUUAGUUUACCUGUUUUACACCAUCUUAUGCUUAAUUGAGGACGCCUUAAUCCUGUAUUCUUCGGGGGGCUAAUGUCAGACACAUGUUGAUGAGCAUAAAUCUGGUUGGCCUUGAUAGCCAAGAAUGUUAUUUGGGCAUAUGAUUUUGAAGAAUAUUUUUCCAAAUCAUUGAAAGAAACCUACAAUUGAAGAAACAAGUGAUCUUAGAUUUGAUGAUAGUGUGUUUUAUACUAUAUCAAAACUUGCGCAAGAUGGAUCGCAAAUUAUAUCUGAUGACUUACAUCCAAGUCUUCCAUAUAGAUUUUGUGUUAUAAUCUGUUUUAAUCCUCUUUAUCUCAGUUAUAUCACAACUUCUGAAAUCUGAACAGUAGGUUUACUUCAUCUUCAGAAACCUUAUCAGAGAACCUACGUGAGAGUCGGAACCAACCUUUAAGCCGAAGUCAACUCAAGCUUCAUGGCCAACAAGCUCCGUCCCUUCCUACCCAACUUCCUGAUAGGGCAGGUUUACCUGCCUGCACUGGUAUGUGCGCGCAGACACUCAAACACUCAUAGCAAAAUGUUUUUUUCAUGGUUUGCUUAUUUGUGCAUACACUUAAAGAGCUUUUGGUCUCAAGAAUAUAAGGUAUUGAACAGUUGAUUGUAAUGAUAAUAUGCAAAAUAGAAAGUUUAAUUUUUCUUGUAAAACAUUUUAUGCUAUAUCUUUGCCCGGACAAUCCAUUCCCAGCUGUGAUGUCUAUGCAUAUAUAUAUUGUUUCUUUUCUUGGUAAUGGAAUUAAUCUUGUCUUUAAUUUCUAAGUGAUACUGUUUCAUUAGAUGAUUUCAUCUGAUUUGUUUAUUCAUGCAGAUUACACCGAUGGUGGAUCUCAAUAUCCAAAACUAGAACUCCCAGGGACUGAUUACAUGCCGUUGGCUCGUGAGGUUAAUUUAUUCUCUUGUAGUUUUGGCUGUUCAACAGGUUCUUCCUUCAUACCGUCAGCAUCAUAGCUAACAUUUAGUUUAAAUGUCUACUUUAGGAUGGUCGGGAAAAUUCAUCUAAGGAUUUAAGUCCCAAUAUACCCAAAUUAUCAGCAAAUGGGAGUUCUGCUAACUCCAAUGGAUCAUCAACUGCUGUCACAUCACGGGGUUCUUUCUCCUCUGGUCAGCUUCUAGCUCAGAGAAAACUAUUUGCAGAAUCUACGAUUGGAAGGUCCAGCUUCCAUAAGCUUCUUGAGCCAAGUUCAGCUCUACGUCCUGGAAUUGCUCCUUAUCGAAUUGUUCUUGGAGAUAUCAAGGAAAAGGUAUUGUUUCUCUAUUAGUUAAAAUACGUAAAAGCUCGUAUAAAAGCUUGUUUUUGGAUAUAAAUCAGGUUUCUUUGUGGCUUGCUGAAAGAGAAUAUGCACCUUUUCUGUUUUAGAAAUGUCGAUAUGGUUUGUAUAGGGGAGAUAAAGAAUUUUAAUUUUAUCUAGCUCAUGGUCUUGCUUUUAGAAUUGAGCUAAAGAAUUAAAAAAAAAAACAGGAUGGAUAAAUAAUGAUAUUACCUAUUCUAUGUAUAUGGUAAGGGCUAGUUUGGCAAUGCUUUUAAAAAAUGGAGUGGAAAAGUGCUUUUGAAAAGUGCUUUUGAAAAGUUUAGUUUAAAAUUUGAGUGUUUAGCAUUAUUCUCAAAAAGUGCUUUUGAGAAAUAAAAUGUCCAUUUUAGACAUGUUAUUAUCAAGUAACAAAUAUACAUUUAAAUAAUAUUUAAAUUAGUUAAUAUUAUUAUAUUUUAGUAAAAAUAUAAAGUAAUUAUUAUAACUUCUUGUUGAUAUUUUAAUAUAUGAAAUAUAAAUUUUAAAUACUUUUAAGCAAUAAAUAUUAAUUAUUUAUAAAAUUUAAUUAGAAUAUAUAAACUAUAUUUUAAAAUUUAAAUAUAACCAUUAAAUAUUUGUAAUUAGUAUUUUAAAUUUUUUUAUUUUUAAUUAAUAAUUUUAACACAUUUGUAAUUAAGCGCCAAAAAGAAAAAAAGGGAAAAUACUAUGUUAUUGGAGGGGUGAAAAAAUAAUUAAGCACUAAAAGUGCUUUUGGGAGAGGAAAAGCUAAAAAUUUUAGCUUCUACUUUUUAAAAGUGCUUUUGAAAAGCACUUCUAAAAAGCUAAAAAUUUCAUCCAAAAGCAGUUUGUUUAGUACAACUUUUCUUUCAAAAGUGUUUUUGGAGUCGGAAGUACUUUUUUUAAGCACUGCAGAACAGGCCCUAAAUGGUUAAAUAUAAAAUUUAAAAUUCCUUGAACAUAUAAAAUGUUUUUAAAUGUGUCAAUGUUAGUUUUAAGGAAAUGUGAAAUCUUAUAUAAAUUCAUUUGGUAACAAGUGUUGGUGAUUAUGACUAAAUGAUUUACAAAUAAUUCUAAAAUUUUGGACUUUUAUAUUAAUUAACCUAUCAUAGGGUUACAUCUGUCAUGUGAAUUUGUAAUUGUAACAUUCCUUUCGCCAGGUAUGUAGAUUAGGCUGAGAAAUUUGAUUCUUUUGCGAAAGUGAUAGAUGAAAAAUCUUAUAUGCUAGGUCUAUUGCAGAAAUAGCUUAAGAAUAUAAAGCAAUUCUGAAAAAUCUUAUAUGCUAGGUCUAUUACAGAAAUAGCUUGAGAAUAUAAAGCAAUUCAAGUGAGCUAGGUUUCAUUUGAGAAUGAUUUUGAACAAAAAGGAAAGGCAUUUUCAAAAUUUUACUUUAAAUCUAGUUCAUUUCUAGUUGUUAGGACAAUUUCCUCAAGCGGCACAGUCAAGGAAAAACUUAUCUAAGAUUUCAAGAUUAUUUUGGGUAUGGAACUAAACAAAUUAUCAUUCAGUGUCAUGCUUAUUCUGCUUUGCUAAAUUUGCAUGCAGAACUUGUGAAAUUUUGUUAGCAAUAAGUUGUUGUUAUUGAUCCGUAGGGUAUGGAAUUUAAUUUUUUCAGUCAAUCUGUUUUUAAUAUCCAGUAAGAUGUGUAUUUGUGUUUUGAUGACCUAUAAUUUCAGCUCAUGAAAACUCGAAGACGGCUGGAACUUCUUCUGGAGGAUCUUCCCUGUGAAUAUGAUCCCUGGGAUUACUAUGAGACGAAAGAUCAAUUUCUGGAACCACUGCUUCUAUGUUAUGAGUCUCUGGUAAUAACUCACAUUCCAAUGGCCUGCUGGAGAAUGAAUGUUCUUGCUGCCGUUAAUAUGGUGCUAUAACUGUAAUCUGCAGCAAUCAUGCGGGGCAGGGAUUCUAGCUGAUGGUCGGCUUGCUGACCUGAUUCGGAGAGUUUCAACAUUUGGGAUGGUGUUAAUGAAGCUUGAUUUGCGUCAGGUACACUUUAUUCAGUUAUAUUCUGGUACUUGCUCGUGUUUUGUGUUUUAGCUAAAGUUUUGUUAAUGUACAGGAAUCUGGUAGGCAUGCUGAAACACUUGAUGCAAUUACCAAAUAUUUGGAUAUGGGUACUUAUAGUGAGUGGGAUGAAGAAAAGAAACUUGAAUUUUUGACAAAAGAGCUAAAGGGGAAGCGGCCACUAGUUCCUCCUACUAUAGAGGUAAAGAUAUUCCAAAAGUAUAUUGGAGUGAAUAGGGGCUUGCAAGGAAUUUUCAAUAAUGAGGCUGAUGUGUGCAUGAAUUGCACACAAACAUACAUUGCAUGACAACUCUUAUAGCAUAAAUUCUGUUCCUUUUUUUAUUAUUGUGUUUAAGUUUCUCUAUGUUAAUAUAUACUGAUGCUAGACCGAAACCCUUAGAUUCUUCCAAAUAAGGUGCUCUUAGGUUUAAAGCUUCUAAACUGGCAAUGACCCAAGCCUCACUGUUACUCAAUAGCUGAGGAAACCAGAAACCAGCAAGAUUCAUGAAGUACUCAACUUGAAACGCAAUAUGUCAAGGGAAAUAACCUGAUUGUUGAAACAGUCAAAACACAAAAGUAACCGAUAGAUAUAAUAACUAAUUAAAGAGAACUCGAAGAUGCCUAAAUUCAGAAGUCCUUAAACGUUGAAAUCAGAAUAUAUUACAAUAAUGCCUCAAAAUCAAAAGUAGGUGGUUUCAAGGUUUUGAUUGCCGAGGUCAUAAGGUGGCAUAGCAAGACAUGGGUUUUUGAUUCUCAUUUGUUACAAAAGUCAGACUCUCAUUGAUAAUAUUGGCUCAUCGCCACAUCAUAAUAGUAAAAUGGAAUUGAGAUCUGGAUAGAGCAUGAGAUAGAACCACUUUGAGGUUCCCCAUGCAGUGAGUCUUUGCAACUGGAUGGGUCUUUGAUUCUCAUUUUUCUUGGGAACACAAUAUGUCAAGGGAAUCCAAGAUGUCUGCCACAUUUCCAUGAAUUCUCCUAAUAUCUUGAGCCAAUUAUAGCCUUUAUUUUCCCUUUUUGUUCGCCGGGAGUCCUACUGGAGUUCAAGUUGCUAUGAUUCAUGGCUAUGUAGUGUUCCUAGGAAGCUGAAAUGUCCGCAUUGAUUUGUUCAUUCGGUUAUAAAACAUUGCAAGUUGGCCCUCUUUAAGGCGCUGGGAUAUUCUUUAUUAAUAUUAUUAUAUCUAAAUAAAAAAUUUGAAAGUCACAUGUAAUUGUUCCGACAUUUUCCUUGGCAAUAUGAUUUCAAGACACGUGGUUACUUUUCAAAUUGACAGGAAAUGAUGCCAAAGGGACACAUGGCCAAGCAAACCUGAAUUGUUAUAUAGUUCCUUAGAAAACAGUCAAUUCUUUCAUCCUCAAACUAAAAAGAGGUUGUGGGUGCCUGAGAGGUAGGACAGUCAUUAUAAACCUUAAUUGAUAAAAGUAUGAAGGUAGAAACGGAUGAGUACUGCAUGCUGCCUAGCAAGUGAGGUAGUCCUUAUAGACCUUAACUGAUGAGAAUGUGAAGGUAGAACACUGAUGAGUACUUAUUGCAAUUAUCACGUACCACCUCUCGUUAAUGUCUUCAUGGUUUGCAUGAGCUGGUUCAUGGGUGAUGUCAGAGCACACACAAAAUGUGCCUUAAAGCACAGCAUGGUCAUACUGUGGGACUAUAGGCAUAUAAUCUCUAGGCAUCAAGGAUUUCUUUGAGUUCAAAUUUCCUCUCCUUUUCUUCCUUUUUUUUGUGGCUCUUAUUCAGAUUUAGCAAAAAGGUCCAUUCUCUUUCUAACUACUAGGACGGUAAAAAAAUUACCUAAAUAGCUCUUGUGCGAUAGAGAUCCAUAGCUGGAUAGCUGAGAACUUGAGGCCUAUUUGUUUGUUGUGUUAGCCUUUGUGGAAAAUCACUCUCUACUAAUAAUUUGUGGAUUCAUAAUAUAUAGAGAAUUUUGGAUGAAUUCCUACUCUUCAUUCUUAGCGACUUCUUUAUAAGAUAGAUAAAAAUGAAAAAGAAAAAAAAGAAGAAAAAACUGAUAUUUAAUAUCAAGUACAAAAAGCAUAUUCAUCGAUUAAACCAUGGGUGGAGUGGCAAAGGACUUGAUAUAAAUUCUUUAGUUUACACUAAUCCCUAGUUUGAUCGUUGGAGAACCGCUACCCCCUUCCCUUUAUCAGAAAAAAGAAGUAAAAAAAAGCAGCAGCAGCAUAUUCAUAUGUGCAGGAUGAAAAAGGCUUAAUUAGAAUGAACCUGAAUAGAGAUAUAAAGAAAAUCCCUUGGAGUUGACGUUACUAAUCAUUUCAUUGUUGCCAUCUCCUCACUUCUAGACUGCUUUUGUUUUGGACUAAAUCGUAUUACAUGUGGAGUGGGGUGGGGGAUCCCCUGAAUUGUGCAUAGGUCUAGGUGCUUUGGCCCUUGGAUUUGCUCUUGUAGUUAUCAUUAUUUGAGUUUAGAAAAUGGUGCCUUCUUUGGUGCAAUAUUCAAAGUCUUUCCUUUAUUUUCAAUUUUCCUUUAUUGCUUUAGUUAACAAAUAGCUCUUAUCUCCAAUGGAUUUGUUUCAGGUUGCUCCUGAUGUUAAAGAAGUCCUAGAUACCUUUUUUGUAGCCGCUGAGCUAGGAAGUGAGUCUCUUGGAGCAUAUGUGAUUUCUAUGGCAUCCAACGUAUGAUUUGCUAAAACCAUAUUAUGUUUACACCUGUUUAUACCUCUGCAGUACAUAAAAGAAAACUUUUUUCCCCUUUUCUGUUAAUUUAUCUUUAGCUUUUACAAUAUUCAUAUAUGGGAUAAAUAGAAACAAUGCUACCCGUUCUUGCUGAUUUGCAGGCAAGUGAUGUCCUUGCUGUGGAGCUCUUGCAGAAAGAUGCUCGACUUGCCGUUAGUGGGGAAUUAGGGAAACCUUGUCCUGGUGGAAUGUAAGUUUGCACCUCAGCUAGUUUAUACUCAUAUGCUCUUAGAUACAUUAAAUGCUAUCAUAUAUUUUUUAGUAUGAUAGCACAAUAGUAAUGAGAGAAACACACGGUUUUUGUUCAUCUGGAUCUCUAACUGUGAUUUAUCCUGGGAUUUUUAGUUCUUUUAUCUUAAUUUGGUUCUGGUUUUCUGCAUCCACUUCCUUUAAAUUGAUAUUAAUCGCGGGUCCUUAUAAUGCGCUUAUUCAUAGUUCUGGGCUACUCUCUAGACAUGGAUGAUCUUGUAUGCACUUGUAGAAGAGUGGCAGAAAUUACUGAUUAUCCAUUUUUCAUGGUUAACUUGUUAACAGGAGUGAAUUAGUUAGUAUUCCAGCUGGAGGUUUCUCCUUAACAUCAUUUUUGUUGUUGAUUAAGAAGAGGGGUAUGGUUUUGAGGUUGGGAACGGGAAUAGGAAUGGGAAGGGUUCCAAUUGCCCACUAUUUUUGUUGCACAAGAUGAGUUUGAAUUCAGUAAAAAACUCAGAACCUAUUAUGUCACUAUCUAAUCUCUCGUAGAUAUUUACUGGGGCAUGAAUAAUAGAACAACAAUAUACUUUGAAGGGAAGAGCUUUGGCACAACAUGUUUAGUUAUGGUUGACAUAAUUCAGCAUAACUAUGGCACUGUUAUACUUUGAAGACUUCUAUUCAUAUCUGUAUCUUUUUGAGUAGGUUGCGUGUGGUUCCCCUGUUUGAAACCGUGAAAGACCUCAGAGGAGCAGGUUCAGUUAUCAGAAAACUGUUAUCGAUUGAUUGGUACCGGGAGCACAUUGUAAAGAACCAUAAUGGGCAUCAAGAAGUAUGUUGAUUUUUAUGGCCAUUUGCGGGUUCAUUUUUGAAGUUCCAUUAAUCUCGUGUUUACGAAGUUAAUUAAAACAGGUGAUGGUCGGAUAUUCUGAUUCUGGUAAAGAUGCUGGACGCUUCACCGCUGCGUGGGAGCUUUACAAAGCACAAGGGGAUGUUGUUGCUGCAUGCAAUGAGUUUGGAAUCAAAGUUACUCUUUUCCAUGGUCGAGGAGGGAGUAUUGGUCGUGGUGGUGGCCCAACUUACCUCGCCAUUCAGUCCCAACCACCUGGUUCUGUAAUGGUGAGUGCCGCUUAAUUUUUAUCUCAGAAAUUUGGUAUUAUUAUUUGAUUAUUUCCUCAAUAAUCCGUAUUUGAGAGAUCAUUUUUUUCUCGGGUAAUUGAAAGAUAGAUGAAAUAUCUUAUUUGGUUGUCUGGUGUUGUAAGUUACCGUCACUUCAAUUUACAGUUUGCUACUUUUUUUAUUAAUGUGGAAAAUUCAAUUGUUGUGUUCCAUUUAUUUGUUGUUGAAAGGCCUUUUUCAGCAAACUGAUACGGAGUUGGAUGCUUCGCUUUGAGGAAUAUUUAGUGUGGUGUCUGAUUGAUAAUGGCAUGUUGAAUUGGCAGGGCACACUUCGGUCAACAGAGCAAGGGGAGAUGGUGCAGGCAAAAUUUGGUUUGCCACAGAUUGCUACUAGACAGCUAGAAAUAUAUACAACGGCAGUGCUGCUUGCAACUCUGCGGCCCCCUCAACCACCUCGAGAACAGAAAUGGUGUAAUCUGAUGGAGGAGAUCUCAAAAAUCAGUUGCCAGAACUACCGGAGCACAGUUUACGAGAACCCGGAAUUCCUGGCGUAUUUCCAAGAGGCUACACCCCAGGCUGAAUUGGGGUAUCUUAACAUAGGGAGCCGGCCGACAAGAAGAAAAGCAACGACAGGAAUAGGACAUCUUAGAGCAAUUCCAUGGAUAUUUGCAUGGACGCAGACCAGAUUUGUACUACCAGCAUGGCUUGGGGUAGGAGCAGGUUUAAAGGGGGUAUGUGAGAAGGGACAUACGGAAGACUUGAAAGCGAUGUACAAAGAGUGGCCGUUUUUCCAGUCCACGGUGGACCUGAUAGAGAUGGUUCUAGGGAAGGCGGAUAUUCCAAUAGCCAAGCAUUACGAUGAAGUGCUAGUGUCAGAGAGCAGGCGGGAACUUGGAGCGGAACUUAGGAGGGAACUGAUGAUGACAGAAAAGCAUGUAUUGGUAGUGAGUGGACAUGAGAAAUUGUCAGAGAACAAUAAGAGCUUGAGAAGGCUGAUAGAGAGCAGGCUCUCAUAUCUGAAUCCAAUGAAUAUGUUGCAGGUGGAGGUUCUGAGGAGGCUUAGACGUGAUGAUGAAAACAACAAACUCAGAGAUGCUUUGCUAAUUACUAUAAAUGGAAUCGCUGCGGGGAUGAGGAACACCGGUUAAUGUUAGAUUAGAGGAUCUCUCUCUCUCUCUCUCUCUCUCUCUCUUUUAGCUUCAUAUAUAUUUGUUGUCCUUAGCCCUACCAGUUAAUGUCUAUCGUGUGGAGUUUGGCGAAUGCAAUACUAGCAAGGGUGAAAUCUGUUUAAACUUUGAUUUUCAGAUUGAAAUUUUAAUCUCUAUCUAUCAUGUACUUUGUCUGUUGAACUUACUUAGCAGAGUAGAAAUGCUAUAAAAUAUGAAUCCAUUGCGUCAAUUACUAGGAAGAGACUGAUUGGUUCAAUCAAAUCAGAUCAGAACCAAAAUCAAGGAAUCGAGAUUGAGCCGAGUAGAAAUGUUAGGGGCUUAUUACCCAAAUAGUAAGCGAUGAUGAUUGAAUUGUAUCGAUAUGGCAAUGCAGUCUUAUUAUGCUACUUGCUGCGCGUGUUGGUCGCGUAAUUUUAUCUUUCUUUCUACAGAACUCUUUAAAUUUAUGUUUUAAUGCUUAAUAGAGCACUUGAGAGAAAAAUGAGUGAAAGGCGAGUGAAAAUUUGAGUGUUGGAGCAAGCUGGAGGAGCCACACGGGCUGAACCAUUCCACACGACCAAAACGCAUGGCCGUGUGACCCACACAGGAGUGUGGUAGGCCAUGUUGAUUUCACGGAAUUACGCACCGAACUAUAGAAAAUUAUAAUUUUUAGGUUUUUCGGUAUUCUAAGACUUAUAUAUGACAAAAAUAAGAAGAUAUGAGUGAGUUAUCAUAGACUAUUUAAAAAAAACUCGAAAAAAACUAUUGAACCCGACUCUAAAGCAUAUUUUUGUGAAGAUUGAAAAUUCCCAGUUGAUUUCUUAGGAAAUUAUCUUGAGUUUCUUUGUUUCUUUCGGUUAUACUGUAUCUUGGAUGUUUUUAUUUUCAAGUAUGAACUAAUUUUCUAAAUACCUAGGGGAGAUGAACCAUAUGAUAGAUUUUGUCGUUUGAUUUAUAUUUUUAUGCAAUAAAUGCUUAGUUUAUUGUUCUUAAUUAUGUGUGCUUAAUUCUUGGUUAAUAUUUCUAGAUUAUUGAUCUAUGUUUGAUGUACUUAAAUCGGUGGUGGAAUAGACCCUGUUUAAGAGUAGAUCUUGCAUAGCUAAGUGGAGUUACAUGCAAUCCUAAAAAUAUGACAACAUAAAUCUACGAGAUUAGAAUCAAAUCUAAUAAGAGAAUCCAUAACACGAGUUAAUGUGAUAAUAGAAGUUUUAAUUAAAAAGAAAUUUCAAUUAAUUAACCCAAAGUCAGUUGUUCUUAUGCUCGAAAAAGAUAUUAGCAUAAUUUAGAGAUUUUGUAACGCCCCAAAAUUUGAAAAUGUGAUUGUUGAAUUCUAUCAAUAGUUAGGUGUCUGCUUCAGUGGUUUAUAGCGUUAAUGGUGUGUCUGAAAUUCGGGGUUCAAAUCCCAUUUUUUGAAAAUUGUUAACUGUUUUGAAUCAACUUUUACUUUGAAUUUUUUUACUUAAGUUAAAUUUUGUGAAUGUUGUGUCAAAAAUGAGCUUGUCGGUUUAAUGGUUAAGCUUCUAAAUAUCGCGCUAGCGGUGGGGACAUAUUUUUGUGUUGUGCGGUAAUUAGGUUAACUUUUAAGUAAUUAAACAUUUUCUUUCUUUCUUUCUUUAUAAUGUUUUCCCUCUUACGUUUUGUUUUUAAAAUUUUUCUUCUCUUUUGCUACUGUUUCUUUUUCUUUUCUUUACUUUCCUUCCUUCAUCUUUCUUCUGCUCUGCUAUAUUGUUAACUGUCGGAUCGUACCAUCCCGUGGCCGACUGUGGUUGUCAAGGGUGAGAUUCAGUUGUUCUAAUUUGUUUGUAGUUGUCUAAUCUUUUGUGAAUUUGGGGUUUUUCUUCAAGCUCUGAAAUUGUGGUUUUAAUCUUUUUUUUGUUGUCCUUUGUUAUUUCGGUACAUUGUGGGGGAAGACCGAGAGACGUCUAACGUCCCUCCAACUAUCUAAGUUUGAGUAAUUGUUGUUGGUUCGUCGGUAAGCAUUAGUUUCGUUAUGGGAUUUUGCAUUGAAGUUUUCGACAUAGUUGGUUGAUUUCUAAUUGUGCGAAUUGUUACGUUUAAAAUGAUUGAUUGGACUUUGGUUGUCGUUUUUAGUUUUUGGGAUCACUUUUGUUGCUUCUACGUUGAAUCCAUAUAGGGUGUGUAAGGAAAACCCCAAAUUCUGCGUUCCGAAAAUCAUGGUUAUCGACGCCACACGACCGUGUGCCAGGCCGUGUGUCAGGUCGUGUAACUUAUCAUUUUAGAAUUAGAGUCACACGGACUAGAGACAUGGGCGUGUGUCCAGGCCGUGUAACUUACUGUUUUGGAAUUAGAGUCACACGGGCCAGAGGCACGAGCGUGUGUCCAGGCUAUGUAACUUAUUGUUUUGGAAUUAGAGUCACACAAGUCAGGGAUACGAGCAUGUGUCCUCGCCGUGUGAGAGGAUUUUUGGGUCUUGAGUCACAUAGGCGUGUGCUUGGUCAUGUGCUAGACCGUGUAACUCACUUUUUUGAGACACGCGGUGUAACAACCCGAUUUUGGGCUUAGCCAGAAUAAUGGUUUCGGGACCACAAAUUUGACGAGGACAAAAUUUUUUUUUAUUAUAUUUUUAUGGUCUACGAUUUCACGAAAUAAUUUUUUGAAAAAUUUGUUCGAAAAUUUUGACGUUUGGGCACUCAAUUUAGUCAAAAUGACUAAAUUGUAAAAAGUGUAAAAGUUGAGUUCUACAUGUUAGGGGUGUCUUUAUAUCGUAAUUAGACCAUUGGUUAAGUUAUGGACAAAAAUAUACAUGAGAUAAGUGAAAUAGAAAAUUUUUAAGUUAGGGGUAAUUUGGUAAUUUAGUAAUAAAAAGAAUUAAAAAGGGAAAAAGAUGGAAAAUGUGUUUAUCUUCUCCAUGAUGAACGAAAAUAGCAAGGGGGAAGCCAUAGUUAGGGUUUUCAAGCUUCCAAGCUCCAUAAUAAGUGAUUUCAAGCCCCGUUUUUAAUGUUCUUUACGAUUUUAGAGUUCCAGUAACUUGAUUUAGCUUAUUCUAGCAAUAAUUUAACCUAGGGUUUAUAUUUGGAAAAAUACCCAUAGGUGAAAUGUGUUUCUUUUGAUGUUUUAUGGUAGAAUAUAAAGCUUAAAAUUAUGUUAAACAACUUUUGCUAAGUGGUUAAGUGAUUUUAAGUGAAAAUGAGUAAAACGACAAAAUCGGUAAAAAUACCUAAUGUUCAUAAGUAAGUGUUAGAGUGGGAAUUUGAUGUUGCCGUAGAAGGGAAAAAUGUUCAGAAUGUCAUAAUACAUGAGAAUAAGGGAUGAAUUUUAAUUUACGAGCUUUAGGGAAAAAGUGUAAAUAUGCAAAAGUUUAGGGGAAAAUUUGUAAUUUUGCCAAAGUUUAAGUCAAGGACUGUUUUGAUAAAUGUGAGUAUUAAAUAAAUCAAAUGUGUUAUUAUAGAUCAAGAAAGAAGUGGAAUCAACCUUGAUCGGAGAAAAGAAAAGAUUAAAGACUAAAUUGCUAAAUUUUUAUAUUGUUGCAUCAAAGUAAGUUAUGUGUAAAUAAUAGCAAUAUAUUUUUUAUAAAUUGUGAAUUAUAUUUGAUAUGUGAAUUAUUAUUGAAUGUGGAAGGAAAAUUUUUCAUGAAUUAUUCAAGUGAUAAAGUGUUUAAAAUAAAGUGUUAAGUGUAAAUUCCUGGUUGAACUUAGGAAUAGAAGUGGAUACAAGUGACUUGUCACUAGAGACCAGUGUUACAGUGUUACAAUGGGUCCCGGGUGCUAGGUGAUCUAGCAUGUGUUGUAGACACCUGACAGCUUGUGUGAGUAGGCCCGUAGACAUUUCCAGUGUUAUUGAUCAGUGGUAGCUACAGCUACAUAUCAGUGGUAGCUUCGGCUACAUUUCAGUGGUAGCUACGGCUACGUAUCAGUGUGGCACUCAUGUGCUAAUUCUCUACGUAUCCGUGUAUAUUCCGAGUGUUCAACGGGAAAUUUACUAAGUGAAAAUAUAUGAGAUUAUGUAACGACUAAGUGUAAUUGAAUGAUGAAUAUAUGUGUGGAAUUGAAUUGAAUAGUGAUCGAAAGUGAAAAAGUGAAAUUAUGAAAUAGUAGAAUUAGCAGCAAAAUAGUUUUGGACAGAAACAGUUGCAUGACUUUGAAAAAUCACCAAAAAUGAUGGAAAUCGAAUUAGAGGUUGAAUAAGAUAUUAAAUGAAAGGUUAAUGAGUCUAUUUUUACAUAAAAGAAAUAGAGUAAGCAAAAGAGUUAUAUAUUUUGAGAUAUUUUAAGUUUAGUGAGACAGGGUCAGAAUGAAUUUGGAAUCCCCUGUUCUAACUUUGAAAAAUUGUUAAAAAUUGUAAAAAAAUAAUUACGGGCUAAAAUUUAUAUGUUUAGAACCCUAAAUGAGUUUAUUUUCAAGUGAAAUAAACGUAAGUACCAUCUGAAUUCUGUACAAUGAGAUAAUUAAUUUUUAGUGAAGAGAUGUCAGAAUUGUUGAGCAAUGAAAUAGGGGAAAAUUUAAAGAAUAAACUGUACUUAUUAGCUAAUCCAAAAAUUAUGAAAAUUUUAUGGCAAGAAUAUAUGUGAAUCUAGUUUCAGGAAAAAUUAACGGAUCUUAAUUUGGAGCUCUGUAGCUCCGGAUAAAAAUAAUUUAGUGACUCUGACUCGGAUAGACAUCUUUGAAUUACAUGUGAGUGAAUAGUAAAAUUAUAGAAAAUGUUAUUUAUAAGAGUGUUAUGUACAUUAAGGAUGUGGAAUGGAGAGGAGGAGGAGGAGGAAAUAUAAAAUAUAUGAAUGAUUUGUAUAUAAAUUAGUCAUAUGCCCGAUUAUAUUUGAUAAACGUUGAAUUAGAAAUGACAUAAUGUUUCAUUUCAAUUAGUUAUUAUGAAUUGAAUUGUAAAUUCAUAUGGCUGAAACCAAACAAUUAUUUGUUAGUAUUAUGCAUGACAUAAUGUAUUAUUCUAUAUACAUAUUCAUGGUUGAAUUAUGAUGGUUGAGAAAGAUAGAUAAAUUGGAAUGAAAGUUCAAAUUGAGUAGAACGCAGGGUUGGGUACUUUCGUUCAGUGAUAAAGACGAAUUGACAGAAAAUACCAGGGAUGGACCAUGGCAAUAAGUGAUAUGUAAUUUCGUGUAAGACCAUAGCUGGGCUAUGGCAUCGGUAUAUGUUAUGAGAUUACGUGUAAGACCAUUGCUGGGCUAUGGCAUCGGUAUAUGUUAUGUGAUUACAUGCAAGACCAUAGUUGGACUAUGGCAUCGAGAAAAUAAGUACUCAAUUCCGUAAGACGUUCACUAAUUUGACAAAGUUGGUGAGUGUUACAUGGACUCAUAUUCAAGUGAUAGAUUUAUUGUGAUUGUUGAAUUUGAAUUCAAUUAAGUGAUUUCACCAAUUGGAUAUUGUAUAUGGCAAGAUGUGUUAGUGAAUUACAUAUUUAUGAAAUGAUAUACGAAGUUCAGUAAAUGAUACAUGAAAUUAAUAUGAAAAGAUUUAUGAUUGUUAUUAGUAUUGUUUCUGACAUAAUGUGGAUUCUUCGAUGUUGAAAUGAUUUAAAGGAUUUAUUGAGCAUAUGAAUGAGUAUGAGACUCAUACGAGUUAGUAUAGAUAUGUACAUGUGUCUUAUAAGCUUUGAAAUGAUAAGACUUGUGAAUUGUGAAUUAAUCUGUGUGAAAGUAUAUGGGAUAGAUUAGCGAAUCUUUACGAGAUAUUGAAUAUUUAAUAUAUUACAAUGGUGGUAGCUAUAAGGCUUGGAUCGAAUGAGUAUCUAUUGGGCCUCGUAAGCCCUAAUUAGCGAUUUGAAGAUAAUAAUUUGAAAGUUUUAAUCUGUAUGAAAUUUUAUAACUCGGUUUAAUAUGUUUAUAAGUGUAUAUGUUCUGGUAAUGCCUCGUACUCUAUUCCGGUGUUGAAUACGGGUAAGGGGUGUUACAAUGUGACAUCGCCAGAUUCGGCCAUAACGUUUAGGCUGGGUUUGGGGUGUUAUACACGGCCAUGUGUGACAUUAAUGAGGGCCACAAGGCGAGUGCUUGGCCAUGUGGACCACACGAGCCAGCCAUUCAAGCCGUGUGAAUCCACACGGGUGUGUGGGCCAGAAAUCAAAUUUUUUUCCUAGAGUCAUAAACAUCGUUCGGAUUGAACGUAUGCCUAUCUUAGGGUCCGUAUGAUUUGAAUUAGACAAUGAAAUCUAAUAUCUGGUAAUCUAUUACUGAAUAAUCUGUUAUUUAGACAUAUAUGUUUGAUAUGAAAUCUAAUAAGUAAGUGUGACAGUAAUACGUGAGUAUGAUUUGAAAUUGUACCACUGUAUACGCAUAUCUAUUAUCUGAUAUAUCUGCAUUUGCAUCAGGUUUGGGAACUUGUAAAGGAGGAAGUGUGGAUAGUUUAAUAAUCUGCCAAUUUUGGUGGCUAAGCCAUAACCGUAUAUCUGACUCUGGUGAUUUAUCGCAUUUUAAUUUGGCAGCUAGAUUGCAAUUACUUUGAAACGUGACAUAUAGUCACUACACGGUGUGUAGGGAUGGAUGGGUACUUGAUACCCUAUAUGCUGUGUAGGAUUGGACGGAGGUGGUGUGUAGCGGUUGGGGGUAAGACUUUGCAUCUGUAUUUGAUAUGUUCUGCUACUGAAUUCGAUGCCCUCUGCUUUUGUCUCUGUGUCUAAUUCUAAGAAUUGUCUGAGAAAUGAAACUGAAAUCAUACCUGUUAUAUUACUGAUUAUUUGAUUAUAUAAGUUAGGCACUGAGUUGUAAACUCAUCUAGUCUAUUUGUUUAGAUGACAAGUAACCCACAGACUUAGGUGGGUCGGAGUGUUAGGAGCUCAGUCACAUCGUUUAACUGAUUUAUUAUGUUAUUUGGAUUUAUGCUUAAUUGUUAUUCUGGGUUGUGGAUUUUAAUACUGGAUUUUAUAUUUUUCUUUUGAACGUUUCAAUUUCUGGGAUGGUUUGAAUUUUUAUUUUUAAAAAAAUGGACUUUCCUAGAAUGAUUGAUGUAGCUCUCCAGACUUGGUCAUAUCAUUAGGUCGGGUUUGGGGUGUUACAUAUUUCUAUGGAUCAAAAUACUAAGUAAAGAAAUUGUGUAAUUUAGAUUGAUAGUGACAGAUGAAAUCUAGGUAAAUUCUUUCUUGAAUAUUGUUUCGCUUCAUGGUUGUUAAUCGAUUAUUUUUUAAUUUAUUCCUUAUUGUGUUCGUUAGUUAAUUAAUUUAGUUAAUUUUAGUUUUUAAUCAAUCACUCGAAUUAUUAAGUUAAAUAAUAGAAAGACGAUAAUUAUUAGUACUUUUAGUCUUCGUGGGAACGAUAUAUUUACUCACCAUAACUAUACUAUUAAUUGAUAGAUGCACUUACCUUACUCAACUUUUUAGUUAAUUUUGUGGACAUCAACCUCCAUUAUUACUAGACUAUGGGCAACUUUAUUUCUUUGCCAAUGAUUUCAUAGUUAAUUUUAAAAUUUUAAAAAUAUUAUUUGGUUCACUUUUAAUAAUUAAUUUGAUACUUUUAGGUAGAUAAUUUUCAUCUUUUAGUUAAUGCAUAGAGAUAGAAAUAAAUUUAUGAGAUUAUUUCGUAAUCAUGUCAUUUUUUUAAAAGAUUUUAUUUGCCUCUUUUUAUAUUUUAAUAUGGAAAAAAUUAUUAGCAAAUAAACAUAGAUGAUAAAAAAACUCCAAUAGCUAUCAACAUUUUAGGGCAAUUUAUCAAUAAAAGCCCUUUUUUUUCAAAAAUUACCGAAAUAGGCCCAUUUUUUAAUUAUUUACCGGAAUGGUCCUUUUUCCUGGAAAUCGCGUCCAUGUCAGCAUCUCGCGCUGACGUGGACGCGAUUUCGGCCCGCGCGUGAACAGUACCCAACGGUCAAAAAAAUAAAAUACCGGGCCCAUUUCGAUAAAUUUUAAAAAUAUAAGGCUUUUUUGGUAUUUUGAAAAAAUAAAUUUUGAAUCUUUUUGUACUUGUAUUUAUUUUUUUAAUCAAUUAACUCUUCAAUAUUACAUCUGUAACACCCCUUACCCGAGACCGUUGUCGAAGUCGAGCACGAGGCAUUACUUAGCUUAUCUUACUAAUUCGGAGUAUAAAAACUUGUUUUGAAAAUUAAUUUCACUAUUUACUGCAAAUCUGUCCAAUCGUGCAUCAGUUACUAAAUUAAUUAUAACUCGAGUUACGGUACUCGAAAUUUAAUUCCGCAAAUUUUCCCUGAAACUAGACUCAUAUAUCUUCCAACUAUAAAAUUUUUAUUCAAAUUAUCUCAUACACUAUUUCUUAAUACAAUUUAUACCAUUAAUCUUUCAAUAAACAUUUAAUACAUUAAAUCAACUUGUUUCAACAAUAACAAUGAUAAUAAUAGCUAUCUUUCAAUUCGAUUCGUUCAUUUAUAAUCAAUUUACACUUAUGAUCUUUUAACACUCAAUUUGUACAUUAAAUCCGUAAAUAAGUUUUAAUAACUUGUAUUAAAUUUUCGUAUUAUUUCACUAUUUCAAGUCAUUUUAUUUUCACUUCUCAUUUCUCAACAAUAGCUAUUUCAAUUUGCUUUUCUUUACUUAUAAUUUUACAUCAUCUCAUACUAUCAAAACCAUUUCAUGAACUAUAUCAUUAUCUAUUUCUUGAGCCGCUAGUUCAUACAUUUUAUUUCCAUAUGUCAAUUUAAUAUCUCAUUUUGAUUCAUAUUUAAGAUCAUUCAAUAAAAUUUAUAUUAUCAAAAUUAUCCAUUUACCCCUAUUAACUUGACUCGGACCUUGGCGGAUACACGGAUUCCAACCAAACACACCAGUAACAGUAAUCAGUAACAAUAACAGUGUUCGACACACAAAGUGCCGAAUCGGUAACGGUGACAGUAACAGUAACAGUAUUCGACACACAAAGUGCCGAAUCGGUAACAGUAACAAUAGUCGGCACAUAAGUGCCUGAUUAGUAAGCCGGCAAAUACCCCGUACUUUUCCAUAUCCUAUGGCAUGCCAACUAUAUCCGACUAGCCCGACUAGUUAAUAGGAUAUUUAACUCACUUUUCAGUACAAUUUUCGUCUUAAUUCAGUAUCAAUUAUAAAUUCCUUAUUUCAAUCAGUUUCACAGUAUUAUAAUAAUUUAUUACUUUAGUAAUUUCAUAAUUCAAUGCAUUAUACAUAACAAUAUUCAGUAUUUUCAUAAUUCACUCAGUACUCAAAACAAUAUCCAGUAUUCCCUAAUUCAGUUCAGUAUCAGUCUUACAUAUCAAUUUCCACUUUCUCAAUUCAAUUCCAAUAAAAUCCAUAUCAGUCACCAAUUCCAAUAUUCCAGUUCAAUUCAAUGAUUCAAUUCAAACCAUUUCAAUUUCUAUUCAAUAAUCACAUUUCAAUUUCACUUUCUUAAUUCAAUAUUCAUCUCAAUUACUCACAUAUAAUUACAAUUCAAUCUAAUUUCAUUCAGUUCAAUAUCAGUACUUAAUCUCAAUAAUUAUAUUCACUAGAAAUCUACUCCAUUCAAAGAAAUAUUAUCAUACCAAAUUUCUUACUUUAUUUAUUUACCAUACAUUCUAAUUAAAACACAAUAAUUAAUAAUAAUUAGAUUUGAAUUAUGAUAAUACUAACCGAAAUUUCUCUCGAGUCACUCUUUGUUCACCUUCUCCUUUCCUUUCUCGGACAAUAACUCUUGCACGACAUUAGCUACGUAAUUAAACAAUUAAAAAUCAUUAAUACACAAUUUCAUUAAAAUAUUUCCUUUUGUACCUAAACUUUACCUAAAUUCUAAUUUAAUUCCUUAUCAAUAUUAAUUUCAUUUUCCCAUUCUAACUCCAUAUUCUCUCUUAAUUCUUACUACAAACUCAAUUUAACUCUUCAAUUUCACCAUAAAUCCCUAAUUUCGGGAUUCUUUCAAUUUAGUCCCUACUUUUCAAAACUUACACUUUAUUUCAAUUAAAUCCUUUACUAACUUCUAACUUGAAAUUCAAUCAAUUUAACCCCCUAACACUUCAAUUUAUUCAACAUGAACAUCAUCUAAUAAUCUACUAACUUUCAAAAUAUCAACAUAAAUCAAGUAGUUUUUAUCUCUAGGAUUCCAAAAACAUCAAAACUAAGAGAAAAGGGAUUAAAUUGACUUACCAAAUUAACUCUGAACCUUAAAACCCCAAAUUUCUCUUUUUCUUUUUCUUUCUUUCUUUCUCCCCUGCUUCUUCUAUGUUUCGUUUGCCUAUUCUGUUUCUAUUCUCUUUUCUAUCUUUUAUUUCAUUUAUUUAAUUAGUUUAAUAUAAUAACAAUAAAAUAAUAAUAUAAUAUUACUUAUGUAAUAGGCCAUUUUUGCCCGGGCCCAUACCAGCAAAAUAGACCCAAAUAAUAAAAACAAAAGCAGCCCAUUUUCAGCCAAUUUAAACCCAAAAAAACUACAAGCCCAAAUGCCCAAUAUUAAUAAAAACCCUAGAGGCCCGAAUGGCCCAAAACUACACCAGCUUUCAAACACAAAAAGAAACCCCAGUCGCAUGUUGUUGCUGCCACCUCCUGCGCACGCCCACCGUCGCUACUCGCCAAUCGCCGGCUUCGCGUGUCCACGCGUCUGACACCUGCAAAACGAAGCCACACGCAACAGUACAAGGAUCCAAAGCAUAAAACGACAGAAAUAGAAGUUUAGGGGUUGUAAAAAUUUGCUAUAUAGGCUGAACAAAAGCAUUGUAAUUUUUUCUUCUGGCAAUUUCAUGAACUUUAGAAAUAAAAGAAAACUAAGUUUUUCUUCUCUAGACCUGUUAUUUUAUUUUGGUUUUGCUCUAUUUUAUUUUUUUAACAAAAACAAAAUAAAGAAAAGGGGGCUCACCGGAACCUUUGUGACCGCAUCGUCGGGAAAGGGUGAAGCUACGCCGCCAUCGGGACCGGAUCCAUAAGGAGGCCGGGGUUCUCCUCUGUUUUGGUCGCUUGCAGGGCUCGACCCUCGAUGGCGCUGCCAGGCAGAGGCUGAAAAGCCCAUUUUUUACGCGUCAGACACCGGCUACGGAGGCGGUGCGGUCGUUCAUCGACGGUGAGUGGGCCUGGAACCCAAGCAGAAAAAGGGAAACCUCCCUUUUAUUUUUCUGUGUUCUUUGCAAGAGAAUGAAACAGCAGAAAAAGAAGUAAAAUUUUUGCUUUUAUGGAUGAUUAAACCGGUGCCGUUUGAUGGGGGAGAUCUGCGCAUGCUUUGCCCUAAUGGGUAAUUUAUGCCUUUAGUCCCUCCAUCUUGCGUUGAAGUGCAAUCCAGCCUUUUAUUUCUUUUCUGAUUUGGGCCAUAAGAUUUACUGCUUGUUUCAUUUUAGUCCGUGUCAAAACGCAGCAUUUUGGGGAUGGGGAUUAUUUCCCAGUUAGUCCCUAUCUCUCUGCGCGCAUUUAGUUCAGGUCCCGAUUGUCCUUUUUAUUUAAAAUCUGUCAUUUAAUUUUGUUUUUAAUUUCUGUCUAGUCCCGGGUCCAUUUAAUUUAUUUGUUUAUUAUUAUUAUUAUUAUUAUUUAAAAAAACAGAAACUCUUUUAUUAUUAUUUGUUUUAAAUUUUAUUUAUUUAUUAUUUAUUGUAA